CCACAGCCAUAUAUACAUGCUUUCUAGACUUUGAGCCACACAUCUACUUUAUACUGCUUAUGAGCAUUGAGUGUGGUCAAGCUGUGUAGACCCUUUGGAGCUUGUCAUGUGGUUAAGUCAACAUUCACUUGCACGUUCACUCACACAUGCUACUUCUACUCCGGAAGUACCAUCCACAUAUAUCCACUCAUUUCUAUCUCCAGAUUCACCCAAAAUUAUUCUACUCCUAAUCCGGGAGAGAAUAGCCAAAAAUAUUUUCCUAUCCCUGUUAUUCCCUGCGAAAUACAUGCUCGAGUUAUCUUGGUUACUACCACUUGCCACAUUAUUCUAGGAGGAUGAGUGCUCUAAAAAAAAGAAAAAAAAUGAAGAAUACGAGGAAAUAAAAAGGGGCAAGUGCCCGGAACCUCGAAAGAAAGAAAAAGUGAGACGAAAGGUAAAAAUGGACAAGUGUCCGACAGUAGAAUUAGGGGUACAAGAUACCCACGUGAGAGAAAAAGAAAAUAUAGAGCAUCUCAUUCUCCCCAAAAGUUUCAAAAGAGCAAGAAAGGUAUGUAUCCCCUCAAAAGAGCAUAAGUAGAAUUAGACUUUCACCAUUGUUAUCACCAUCAUCACCAUACACCAUUCAUUCGCCACACAUGCACAUCUUGAUUUGACUUAUUGACUUGUUCUUCUGGAUCCAUGGUUUGACUAUGCAAUAAAUGUCUUGUAAGUAUAUAUUAGCUGUCUCCCACCUAUGAGCUCCAGAUAUCAAAACCUUAUUAGAGUAGGGUGAGAGAGAAGGUAAUGUCACUAUGCCUCAUACCAAAAAUACCACAUACUUUGAGAGAAGGCAUACACCUUUACUGCCUUGGUAAGGAUCCAGAAAUACCACAAAAGAGAGACUAGAGAGAGUCAUACAAGGAAUCUCUUAGUUUUAUUUGAAAAUCUGCACAAACUCCAGAGCUAUAGUUAAUCGAAGAACAAGAGACAUGGCGCUUGACUAGACCAUUCUAUCUUUUAACUACUCAAGUCAGAAGUGACGGUUGCAAGCCCCAUGGUGGAAGGUAAUAUGAGUAAAUUUAAAUCUUAACAGUUUACCCUAACCCAGAGAUGAGAUCUUGUUUGAACGCAUGUGUAUCUUUAAGGCAUGAAACCACUGCAGAAACUCUUGAGUUCAUCUUUGCUCAGGGACGAGCAAAGGUUAAGCUUGGGGGAGCUUGUUGACGGUCCUUAAUGCUCACAUUUAACCGUCAGCUAAUUAUAGAAAAGGAUCCAAAUGCAACCAACACCUAGACUUAGGGUUUUAUCUGACAGAAUUCCACAAGUUUUGGUGUUUGUCUAUUUCUGCAGGGGGUUAUCAGGAAAUAAGGAAGAAAGGCCCACACGUCGGGUUUACAUAGAGAUAUUAACGUGCCGCGCAAUUUUCUACCAUCUAGAAGACUCCAGAAGCCACGGGAACGAACGGGAGGCCGAUCGGGCCCGGGGGCAGGGCGCCCGCCCAAGUCCCUUGGGUGCCCGCCCAAGUCCCUUGGGUGCCCGCCCAGCUACAGUAAUCAAUCAGCUUCAACUUCGCGGAUCAUGCUCCACCGACCUAAUACUUCAAGGAAAACCACACGAUCAAUGUCGGUUUGAUCCGACGGCCCAGAUUCAUCUGAAAAGACUAUAUAAGCAAGGCCCCCUGCCCCCUGGAGAGCAUACCUCUUCUACGGAAUCAAAGUUAGGGUUUCAAUUCUUCAUCCAAGUAGAGAGGAUCCCUCUAGUUCUUCUAGUUCUACCUCUAAUUCAUCUAGAUCUAGUUCUAGUUCAUCUAGUUCUAGUUCUAGUUCAUCUAGUUCUAGUUCUAGUUAGUUCUAGUGGUAAUCUAGAAAAUAGGGAGAGAGAAGAGGAGAGCGGAGGAGGAGGAGCCGGAUCUGUCGGAUCUUCCUCAACAUUGUACUUUUGCAGCAACUGGUUUGUUCUUCAUCGUUCUCUAGGUUCUUCAAUUCAUAACUCCUGAGUUCUCUAAUUACUUUUAUUUACAUUCAAGUUAUUUAUUGAAUUCCCGCUUGCAUCAAGUGCUCUAGUCUUUAUAAUGCUAGAGUAGUAAUUAAUAGAUUAGACGUGGUGUUUAGUCUUGCGAUUACCUGGAAUUACACCCAAUCCUGCAGAUUGUUGUGGUAGCCUUAGGGUAGUGACAGCCCUAACGUCGACGUAUUCCACCACGUUCGGAUCGGUGUUUGUAGGACCGUAGUCAGACCUUCCUAGCCCCCUUCUCAUCUCUUUCCGUGGUUAGUGCUCUGAUGUCCCGAUAUAGAUAAUCUUGAAGUAAUUCUUGAUUCUUAGAUCAACUAGAGAACUCUCAGGAAACUUCCUCUCUUCCCACCAAAAAUAUUCAUAUAGUUAUCCUUGGGCGAUCUUGGAUCUUAAUUAGUACACUCACGUUCCCUGUGGAAAAUCGAUACUCUGGAAUACUCCCGGGUGAAGGCUACAUCGGUAUCCGUGCGCUUGCGGAUUUUUCUGUUUGCGUUUAAAAUACCCAACAUUGAGCUUCCUCAAUAAAUAAUACUCCCUAUUUUUAUAUUUUUAUUUUAUAAAGCAGAAAAGAAAUAUUUAUUUUAUUUUUAUGCCACCACAGUGAAGGUACUUAUGGGUUUUAUACCACUCGUAUACUCACAUGGGGCUUAGUAUUUUUUAACAUUUUUAUUUUCUUUUCAAGAUAGCAUGAUUAACUAAUAAUCUAUUUAAGGAAAGUAAAUAAUUAAAGGCAAAAGGGAAUGCAGAAAGGAUAAAUAUGGAUAACUACUGAUCUUACCUUUCGGCGAGGGUUAAAUGUUUUAAGUCUUCUUAACAAGACUUCUCACCGUGUUCAUUCUUCAGGUGUGUCAUUUGAUUCAGGUGCGGACCUUGACGUCUGUACCUCUUGAUACGGUGUCACCCAUGUUCUUCGUUUGCCCAGCAGUUCGAAGUGCGGCGUUGGCAGUAACCGUAACCUGCUCAGUGUGUUUGUGCUCGUAGAUCUAGGCCCUUCACUUGGUAGAGUCUGAGAGUUAUAAAACUCCUCCAUGUUUUGCUCAAAGUGUACCUGCUCAUAGAGACAAGGCAGAGAUCAAGUGCAUGGGUCCUGUUGGUGGAAAACACCAACAGAACCUAAAGUGUAUUUGUUCUUCUCUAACCCUAAGCAUAGUGAGCAAGACAAAGUUGAUGGAUGAAAAGUUCAUGAGUGUAGCACUUAUAACAUUUGUCAGAUCAGAUCGCUCAACCUUAUGAAAAGAUAAUCUAUCUAUGUAUAUGUCUUUUUCUUUAUAUCUCUCAAUGAUUGAAUGUGUAACAUUUUAGCUCAUAUGAUUAGGAGUGUGGGAUCAUGGAGGUAGUACUAAGAACAAGGAUUAAAGGACUAAACAUGUUGAAUCAGUUGGGUUGGUUAAUCUAGAGUUGUAAAUCAUACAUGUUUGUCUCUUUUAUUUAUAUGAACGCCAGAACCAAGGAGAAGCUUAUAAAAGUGAUAGUCAAGUACUUUAAGAUGUUACCUUGCUUGAAGAGUGAUGGUACAGUAUCACCUUGUGGAAGCUUUCCUUUCUUAGCGGUUGUGCAUCGUGUUUGUGGCACCCUCCAUGGAUCAUCUCUCUAUGAUGAAUGAGCUAUGUCCUUCUUGUGCAAAUUGUUAAACUUCAUGUGUCACUCUCUUCGUCUCUGAUGUGAGUUUAUCUCAGGACUUCCCAAAUCGAUAUUGAAAGUUUUUCUGCAGGGGUUAGUCCGACAAAAAUAUACCAAUGUCUACACAAGCAGUUUUUAGUUCAAUAACCGAACUAGACUCCAUCUCUAAUCUGAUUAAGAAAGGCUGUUUAACCUAAGCACCAUGCUUAAUUUAAAAGCCAAUAGAAGUAUGUGCAGUACUUCCAAACUAACACUUACUAGUAAAUAGACAAAGGUAGCAUGACAGCAUUUACAGAGAUAUACUCAAGUGGAGAUGAAGUAGUGUGAUUAGUAUUUAACAAAUUGAGCAUUUCUUAAAGGUAGGGACAACAAACAUAGCAACAUGGCAAAGGAUGUUUUUAUGUAAAGUACUCCCCCAAGCUUGAAUUUUGCAGAAUUCAAGUUUGGAUGAAUUUAAUUUAGUGUUGCACGAUGAUUGGUUGGACAUACCUUGUACUUGCUUGUCAUUCCUCUGAUCUUCUUGUUCCAAUCAUGGAAAGGUUAGUGACAAGAAUACCCGAAGGAAUAUUUUUACAAUUAUCCUUAUAUGCUCAAUACACAAGGUAAUGUUGCAAAUAAUUAAAAACUCAUGUUACGAUCUGAUCAGUGCUUAUUUUAGGACACCAAGCUUGUCCUUGGGAAACCAUCAAUUUAUGUUGGCGAAGUGGUUUCCCUUCCAACGCUGACCUAAAUCAAGAUCAACUCAACAAGAUCUGCAAUAUUUAUUAUAGACGUAUGCAUCGACAAUCGCCCUUUUAAAGUUUUUAUAAAUAGAAAGGAAGAGGGGGUUGGAGAUCUCAAAUGUGGUGAUGUUGGAGAGACCAAUAGAUUGGGAAGAUGUUGCAUAUGAGCAUGGAGUAAACAAAGUGGCUAUGAAAUAAAUUCUAUGCUCAUUAAUGUUAUCUUCGUCUCCAAUCUGAAUGUUCGGAGUUUCUCUUGGAUUGGUCUCACCUAUGUAUAGUUGGAUGAAUCCCAUCUUCAAAGGGAGUCAAGAACUCACCAUUUGAAAUUGAACCAAAGUCAGAAUUCAUUAAGGCUUCUUCCUUAUCCAUCCAUUCUACACAUUCUAGACAUUUAGAACUUGUGAUCAGGAAAGGGGAGGCGUUAGAAUUUUCAUAUGGCUUAGCUCUCCUUCACUUGAUAUGCCAUCCUCGAAUUCUUCAUAACAGGAACCAAGACAUUCUCUAAGAGAACCAUUAUUGUGAGGAUUUGAAUUAUCCCUGCUUGAAGGUCUCUUAUGGAACCAGAAGUCUAAACCAUCAGCAUCUGAAAGAUUUAAGGUCGGAAUUCCUUCCUCCCUUGGAGAAUUUUGGGGUAUUGAUAGUUUAGGAUCGAUAGCUAAAGUUUGGAAUUGAAGUGGUUGUGAUCUGGCUAUUGUUGACGGUAUUUAUACCAUGUUUUCUACUAUCAUAACCGUCAACAUAAGACUCAUUUUGGGAGAAAACAACCAAACAAAGUAGUAAUAUAGGUACAUAUAACCUAGUUCCACAUGUACAUGCUACUAUUUGGUUGCAGGAGUAAGAACAGGUACUUUUCAAGGGUCCAAACACUAAGAAGGGGUGAAUAACUAAAGAUCAGUGACACCAGUAACCAAGACAACAUUAUAGUCAUGAAGAGGAAGACAUGUAGGACAGGGCUGACACCCUAACCCCAUAGAAUUGGGGUCGGGCGACCCCACUUUGGUGGGUCCCACAGGUCAGCUCAACUCCACCGACAUCAGAGAGCCUCCAGGACACUGCAGGUGGGCCCAACCAGCCAGAUAGGGGGUCGGCCGACCCCACUUCAUGGCGGUUCCAGGGUCGGUUGGCCUCCCACCGACCUUGCCCACAUGUUGCACAUGUUAGUUUGCCUCUACCGUUGAUCAGAUGGUGGUUGUGAAGUCGGUUUGAUCCAAUGGUGCAUGAUGAAGAUGACGCGGAUCGCUGACGUGGCACCGGAGUAGCCCCUACUCCAUCUCCCACUAUAAAUACCCCCCUAUUCCUUCACUUAAGAGUCAUGUAUCUUAGGAGUAAACUACUUUAGUAGCUUAGUGCUAUCAUAGUGAGUAGAGAGUGAGGAGUUCCAAGGAGGAGUCCCGGCCUGUCGGGAGUUUUCUUCGCGGAGCACCUCAGCGGAAGCAGGUCUUCUUGUAAGUCUUACUUCUGAGUCUUUUCUAGUAUUUAAUAUUUGGUCUGGUACUUUAAGUAUAAGAAUCCUUUACUGGCACAUUGCUUGAUCUUGAGUGCUCUUAGCUUUAGCUAAGCUUAGGGUAGCAAGAGCUAGUUUAGACGUGGUGUCUAGACUACUUCUUGCCAGUGUGGACUCCUUGUCGCAGUUGUGUAGACACCUAGUGUGAGAGUGACAGUCCUCGCUAGGCGGAAAGUUCCUCGCAUCUGUUGUAGGCAAGUUGCAAAUAAUAGUUGGGCUGAGCAGGGUAGUCGCUUAGGAGACGAGGAGGUGAAAAACUUCGUUAACUCAAUCCUCCUUUUCGGGUAUCGCCCUUAGUAAAGAGUUAGGUGAAAAACCUUGACUAUACUUAAUUACCAAGACCAGGCAUUAAUACUAGUUAGACCUCUCUGCCCCAUUAUCCUAGACCCUUUGAUCAUCACCUAACGAUCUAAAGCCUAGUUAAUUCACUUCGCGUUCCCCGUGGAAAUCACGAUACCUGGAAUACUCCCGGUGAAGGCUACAUUGACUACCGUACGCUUGCGGUAUAACCGUUUGCCACUUCUGGUGUCAACAAGCUUUCUGGCGCCGUUGCCGGGGAACGGUAGCUGUUUUAACUAGGAAAAAAAAAUCGUUAAGUUAUCUUUGUUUGAUUUAAAACUUUAUACACAUAUCCAAAUGGAUCAAACAACCCUCUUCGAUUACGCUGCUCCAACGGGCGCUGAGUUGGAGCCAGCGAGUUCAUCAAAAGCCAUUUUGGCCUGUCACUAUGAGCUUCGCCCGAGUCUCAUAGCGAUGGUUCAGGAGAAUCCCUUUUCGGGAGAAGGAGAUGAAAAUCCUUACACACACCUACGAGAUUUCGAACAACUUUGUUCAUGCAUCCACAUCCAAGGGAUGAGGCGAGUUACCCUCAAGUGGAAGCUCUUUCCGUUCUCUUUGACAGGAAAGGCCAGACGGUGGUACACUCGCUAUGCAGGUAGUGUAGGAGGAGAAUGGGAAAAGCUGCAAGCCAAAUUCUGCCUCACCUACUUUCCCAUCUCUAGAAUAGCUCGUCUCCGUAGAGAAGUCCUAGACUUCAAGCAAGAAGGGAAGGAGUCUCUAGGUGCGGCCUGGGCGCGUCUCACCGACUUAACAUCAUCUGGCCCAGACUUAGGUAUAACCGAGCCAAUUCUUAUGCAACAUUUUUACCUCGGACUUAGCCAACAAUCCGCACAAUUCCUUGAUUUAGCCUCCAAGGGAGCAUUCCUUCAUUUACCUAUCAGUGAAGGUAAGGCCAUUCUUGGGACUAUUCUCGAGAAUACCCCUUACACUGAUGAUCAUAUUGAAGCUCCUGAGGAAGAUCGAACUCCUAGGGAUGAACCUUCGACAGCCAAAACUCCUUUAGCCGCAACCCAAGCUGUCGAACCUGAACCAAUACCACAAGCACCUCCAAGGGAAGAAGUAAUUCAUCCCUUGGAUUACCCACUUAACAUCGAGACUGAUCUAUUUGCCGAUUUUGGCAAUGUCUCGAAUCAACCUGUGCAAAGGAGAUCUACAGCACGCAGAGCUCCGAAUAGCCAUAUCCCAGCUCAUCUUGAGGCUGGUUACCUUAGGGCAACUGCCCAAGAACUCACGGCUAUUAUGAGUAAUGAAUGGUUUAGAGAAGCUGAGACAUCAUCUGAUGUCAUCAAACUUCUCUCGAGUUUUACACCCAUUCCCUGUGUCAUAAACUCCACUCCUAUAGAAUCCAUUUAUGACCCUGCUGUAGGAGUAGGCCUAAUGUCCAAGUCAUUAGUACUGACACUCCUAGGCGAGGAACCAUUAACCCCGACCAGCAAAUUUCUUAAAUUACCCUCUGGGGAAAUGGUCGAGAGUUGUGGGAUUGCACAGAAUAUUCCUGUCUCCAUUAACAAAGUCAACAUUCUGCUAAACUUCUUUAUCUUUGAUAUGAAAGAAGUUGACUUGUUAAUCGGGCACCCCAUCAUGAGGUUCCUAAAUGGAUUUCAUGAAGGGCAUUUCAAGGGUAACCUCGGGAAGGGCUUAGACCUUUCUAUGCCUUUUGCCGGCUCUAUUAAUUCUAAAGCCGAGACCCCGCCCGAGCCUGACCCAAUAGAGGAGGUGAUAUCGGCAUCUCUUCUGGACACUUCUCAGCCUGACUUAGAAGAAGACGCCGAAAACUUCAUCCAAGAAGAAGAGAACAAAUUAGAAGAACCAUUAGACUUGGAUGAAUCUAAACCACCACCAAAACCCUCUAUAGAACUUAAGCCACUUCCCUCUGGACUUAAGUACGCCUUCCUUAAUGGUGAUAGAGAGACUCCGGUAAUCAUUAGUGAUCAACUGACAGAAGAAGAAGUCACCAAACUCAUCACCGUCUUAGAAGAACGCCGCUCUGUCUUAGGAUACUCGUUAGAAGACCUUAAGGGAGUUAGUCCUGCACUCUGCACUCAUCACAUCCCUAUCGAACCCGAUGCUAUACCUUCCAGGGUGCCUCAGAGAAGGCUAAAUAAUGCGAUGAGAGAAGUUGUGAAGAAAGAGGUCUUAAAACUAUUGCAUGCGGGCAUAAUCUACCCUGUUCCGAACAGUGAGUGGGUCAGCCCCGUUCAAGUAGUUCCUAAGAAAGGAGGAAUGACGGUCGUUAAAAAUGACAACAAUGAACUCAUUCCUCAACGGACCGUCACGGGAUGGAGAAUGUGCAUAGACUACCGAAAACUUAACAAGGCCACUAAGAAAGACCACUUUCCGUUGCCAUUCAUCGAUGAGAUGCUGGAACGGUUAGCCAAACACUCUUUCUUCUGCUUCCUUGAUGGGUAUUCGGGUUACCAUCAAAUCCCAAUCCAUCCCGACGACCAAAGUAAGACUACAUUCACAUGCCCCUACGGAACAUAUGCAUAUAGGCGCAUGUCUUUUGGCCUAUGCAAUGCUCCUGCCUCUUUUCAAAGGUGCAUGAUGUCCAUCUUCUCCGAUAUGAUCGAGGAAAUCAUGGAAGUUUUCAUGGACGACUUCUCCGUCUAUGGGAAAACUUUUGAUGAUUGCCUAAAGAACCUGGACCGAGUCUUACAAAGGUGCCAAGAGAAGCACUUGAUCUUGAACUGGGAAAAGUGCCAUUUUAUGGUUCGAGAAGGGAUAGUGUUAGGACAUAGAGUGUCCGAACGUGGGAUAGAGGUAGAUAGAGCUAAAAUUGAAGUUAUAGAACAGCUCCCUCCUCCCACAAAUGUUAGGGGCGUCCGUAGCUUUCUUGGCCAUGCAGGCUUUUAUAGAAGGUUCAUACAAGAUUUCUCUCAAAUUGCUAGACCUUUAACAAACCUGUUUGCUAAGGAUGCACCCUUUGAUUUUAAUGAUGAGUGCUUGGAUUCCUUUUACUAUCUUAAGAAAGCACUUAUCUCUGCACCAAUCAUUCAACCCCCUGAUUGGUCGCUACCUUUUGAGAUAAUGUGUGAUGCUAGUGAUUACGCUGUAGGUGCUGUCUUAGGACAGACUAAAGAUAAGAAGCAUCAUGCAAUAUCUUAUGCUAGCAAAACACUAACAGGACCACAGCUGAAUUAUGCAACAACUGAAAAAGAACUGUUGGCUGUAGUGUUUGCUAUAGACAAGUUUAGAUCUUAUUUAGUUGGAGCAAAGGUGAUUGUUUACUCCGAUCACGCAACUCUAAAAUACUUGCUCACUAAAAAAGAUGCUAAACCAAGAUUAAUAAGAUGGAUCCUACUACUCCAAGAAUUUGACUUAGAAAUUAGAGAUAAAAAGGGAGUAGAAAACUCGGUAGCCGAUCACUUGUCUAGGAUGCAAAUCGAGGAUAAACAGGAUCCACCUAUCAACGACUACCUUCGAGACGACACACUCCUCCGAGUUUCAGAAGCCUACCCAUGGUAUGCAAACAUAGUCAACUACCUGGCGUCCGGAUACAUACCAUCUGGGGUAGACAAGAAGAAGCUUGUUAAAGAGAGUAGGGUGCACCUAUGGGACGAUCCUUACCUCUACAGAGUCUGUCAAGAUGGCAUACUCAGGAGAUGUGUUCCCAUGGACGAAGCAGUAAAAAUAAUGGAAAAAUGCCAUGGGGCAGAGUACGGAGGCCACUAUGGAGCAUUCAGGACCCAUGCCAAGAUAUGGCAGAGUGGAUUCUACUGGCCUACCAUGUACGAAGAUACAAAGCACUUCGUGAGGAGAUGUGCAAGGUGUCAGAAGCAUGGGAACAUCAAUACUCGUGAUGCAAUGCCACUCACAAACAACUUACAAGUCGAGAUAUUCGAUGCUUGGGGCAUAGACUACAUGGGGCCAUUCCCUUUGUCACAAGGGUGUGAGUACAUCCUAGUGGCAGUAGACUAUGUGUCCAAGUGGGUCGAAGCAAUGCCCUGCAGAGCAGCCGACUCUACACAUUCGAUAAAGAUGUUCAAGGAAGUCAUAUUUCCACGCUUCAGCACCCCCGGACUAGUUAUCAGUGAUGGAGGGAGCCACUUCAUUGACAGAAGAUUCCGACGGUUCUUAGCUGAAGUGGGGAUAAGGCACAACAUUGGAACACCCUAUCACCCUCAAACGAGCGGACAAGCAGAAACAUCUAACAAACAAAUCAAGAACAUUCUGCAGAAGACUGUCACUAAGAUGGGAACCGGCUGGAAAAGCCAUCUACCAGAUGCACUUUUGGCAUACAGGACCGCAUACAAGACCCCAAUUGGUAUGACACCAUACCAACUUGUAUACGGUAAGACAUGCCAUCUACCGGUAGAGCUAGAGCAUAGAGCUCACUGGGCAAUCAAGAAAUGGAACAUGGAUUUGCCCUCGGCCGGAAGAAAUAGAAAGCUCCAAAUCUCCGAACUAGAAGAAUGGAGAGAUAAAGCCUAUCACAAUGCCAGGAUCUACAAAGAGAGAACAAAAAGAUGGCAUGAUAAAAGGAUCAAGCAAAAGGAAUUUCAUCCUGGGGAUAAGGUUCUCAUGUUCAACUCAAGGGUCAAGUUAUUUGGCCAUGGAAAGCUAAGGAGCAAAUGGGAAGGACCAUUCUUCGUUGUUGACGCCGCGACUCAUGGAGCGGUAACGCUGCGGGACGACGACGGCAACACCUUUAAGGUAAAUGGUCAUCGUCUUAAAGUUUUCCAUGAACAUGAACCUUUAGAAGAAGAAGUUGAUAUGAUAGAAUUUGAAUCUGACACAAAGUCUUAAAAUCCACAUGUCCUUCUUUUUACCCCCUUUUUGUUUAAAUAAUUGCUAAAUCAAUAUAUUUAGUUCCUUUUUGUUUUGAAAUAGGUUUGUAAAGGGUUUUAGAUGACGUAGGAUCAAAGUUGGGCCGCCGAACACCCCAAAUGGGGGUCGGCCGACCCCUCUUCUAGGGGUUUUGGCCCAAGGGGGGACAGGUUUAGAAAGAGGGGAAUGAAUAGAGUUCGGUGCUGAAAUUCAAAAUUCAAAAUCCUGAAAUAUAGGGGUCGCCCGACCCCAAUAUUUUGAGUUUUGAAAUCCCCUGGAGUCUCGGAUCGUCCCUCAAACGUUCCACGACGCUCCUUUUCAAAAUUCAAACUCUCAGGCUCCAAACACAUCUAUUUAUCCACCCUCUUCUUCUUCUUCCUCCUCUCAAUUCAUUCCUUCUCAUCUUCACCUUGAACCAGACUCUCCUAGCCUCCAUUCCUUGCCAAGAGAUUCAUCUCCAUGGCUCCUCCAACUAAAUCUUCCAACCAAGCCAUUCGCUCCAACUCCCCACGUCCGCAAAGGUCUCUAACUGAGAGCCUGGAGCUUGCCCUAGCCGUCAACGUGCUGGAGCCUGAACCACUAGCCAUGGUGCCGCCGGCUGGAGGGCCGACGGGCCCCAUGUGGGGGUCGCCCGACCCCAAGAGGGGUCGCCCGACCUCGCCCCGGGUGACGCAGCGCUCCGCGUCGGCCUCUCGUUCGCUCACACCGCGCAGGGGCAUCGGCAAGUCCCCUACUCGAGCCGUAACGCCGGUUCGACCUACCACGGGCCAACUUGCGCUGCGGGAGAAGGCGCCGAUGGCCACCAAGCAGGCCAUCACCAUCUCCUCCGACACGAUCCACACCUCUUCCUACUCGCCGUCCACCCCAACCUUUUGGAGGAACCACCAAGUGGUGGGCAGUGGGCCGGGAAAGGGGAAGGUGCUGAUCCCGCCGCUGAACUCUAAGGAAAAGAUGGAGUUGCUGGAGUCCUUUGACUCGUCAGCAAGUCCAUCCAUCCGGCGGAAGAUGGAUCCACCUCCGAUCAACGGUGCGCCUGGCAAAUACGAAGAAGAUCCAGAAAAAGGCGACAUCGAGAAGCUCCUGGAAGUCACAGCUAGCCUUAGAAAGAAAAAUAGGAUCUUAGAGGAGACAGUGUCGGAGCUCAGGAUGGAGAAUCUUGAGUUAGAAGAUCACUUCCGCCACCUGCGCAUCGCUAAAAUCAAGCGUUUGGCGCAAGCAAUUGGGCGGGAGGAUCUCCUCAAACCUCCAUCUCCCUAAAUAAAUUAGUUAGUUUAGGUUAUAGGCACUAUUUGAUUAUUUAGGUUUGAUUACUCAAUUUUAUUUUUCAAUUUGUCACUUUGAAUUUCGCAAUGUAAAAGUGCCUAUACAAUUGAAAUUUGAUUUAAUGGAGUCGUUUUUGGUCCUGCUGGUGUGUUGCCACCAGCAGGACAUCUGCAUUUGAUCGUCUCUCUCUGUUUUAAGUUCAGCUGCACGAAAACUGCAAGUGUGGGGGGGUCGCCCGACCCCCCAACUUCAUCUCUGAACUGCCGUGAGCAUGGAACAACACUGCAUACACCUUGGCACGUCAUGGCACCAAAAACAGGCGCGAUGAGGGGGUCGCCCGACCCCUUUUCUAUGGCAAAAGAAAACGACACAAGUGCAGAAAGACUUCCCGAGGGACGUAGAAUCGAGUGGCAGGGCCAGGAACCUCCAGGUGGGGUCGGCCGACCCCUCCAUAGAGCCCUGGGCCCACCAGGAAGCUUCUAUACGACGAAACACAUCUUUCCUGCCCGGUUUGCUAACUCUUCCCCCUCUCAGUCUGUCCAAUUCUUUACCUUUGUGUCACAAUUAAAAUAAAAUUUGAUAGUUUAAACUUGUUUGCAAAAUAAAAAGUGAACUGGUUCAUGAUUUAAGAGAAAUUGUGACAUAAAGUAUAGUUCUUACAAUUGUUCAUCCUCAUGGGUUAAAAUCUAUAGGAACCAUAUUGACUAAGUUGUUGAUGAAAGUGAUAUAACUCUUGGCUAAGAAUUCAUAACAUUUCUAUUCAAGGUACUUAGAGAUUUGUUUCAAAAAUAUCACAAAACCAUUGUAUCAUUUACUCCUCAUUAGCAAGAAAUUCCCACCAAAAGCCAUACACUUAGAUAUUCAAGUAACCAUUUUAUGAAAUGCAACCUGCUUUUGUAAUGAGUUUUGUCAAAACCUUGUUGACCCUAGUGAGAGUUGUAUCAUAGUCACAAGAUCAAGAUCACGUACACACCACAUAUAUAUAUGCUGCUUCUACACUGGAAGUACGCAACCACAUGUAUUGUGCAUCCACUAAAUAGGUUGCUCCAUACUCUAAGUGUUAGAACACCUCUCUAAAUAUUGUUUAGAAAAUGAGACAUAAAAGGCUUGGCAAAAUAAAAAAAAAAUUGAGCACAUAAAGCUCGAAGAAAAAGAAAAUCUAGCCAUGUCUCAAUAUACAAGUAGAGAGAGUGUAGCAAAUAAAGGAGCAACCUAGUCCACCAUAUAACACACUUGCACAUCUUGAUCUAUGACUAUGACACUCCUCUCUUUGGAUCCUUGUUUUUGACUUAACAAUAUUUGCAAAGUAGAGUAUGCUACCUUGUUUAUCCCUACCAAGCCCCAUAUAAGCCUAUAGUUAUAGGAUGAAACAAGUUGGCAUUCAUGCCUUGGUGAGGACUACUAAAAAAAAAACUUUUAGUGAUCUAGAGCGCUAAAUGAGGAGUAGGAUUGAACUAUGUAACUUAUUUUAAAAAGUGUCAUAAAAACUCUAAGUACCAAGAAUAUGAAAUUGGAAUUUGAUCUUGUUCUGAGAGUUGUUCCUUUUCUCAACCUCUGAAGGAUAUAUGCUAGACCCUUACACAAAAACCCAUUUGGAUGAACUAUGUUCGAACUAGCAUUUUAUGCUCACUACUAUCUUAAGUUAGAAACCAUUGAUCACUCAUUUUUAACCUUUACUCGAGGACGAGCAAAGACUCAAGUGUGGGGGGUCUUGUUGACGGUAUUUAUACCAUGUUUUCUACUAUCAUAACCGUCAACAUAAGACUCAUUUUGGGAGAAAACAACCAAACAAAGUAGUAAUAUAGGUACAUAUAACCUAGUUCCACAUGUACAUGCUACUAUUUGGUUGCAGGAGUAAGAACAGGUACUUUUCAAGGGUCCAAACACUAAGAAGGGGUGAAUAACUAAAGAUCAGUGACACCAGUAACCAAGACAACAUUAUAGUCAUGAAGAGGAAGACAUGUAGGACAGGGCUGACACCCUAACCCCAUAGAAUUGGGGUCGGGCGACCCCACUUUGGUGGGUCCCACAGGUCAGCUCAACUCCACCGACAUCAGAGAGCCUCCAGGACACUGCAGGUGGGCCCAACCAGCCAGAUAGGGGGUCGGCCGACCCCACUUCAUGGCGGUUCCAGGGUCGGUUGGCCUCCCACCGACCUUGCCUACAUGUUGCACAUGUUAGUUUGCCUCUACCGUUGAUCAGAUGGCGGUUGUGAAGUCGGUUUGAUCCAAUGGUGCAUGAUGAAGAUGACGCGGAUCGCUGACGUGGCACCGGAGUAGCCCCUACUCCAUCUCCCACUAUAAAUACCCCCCUAUUCCUUCACUUAAGAGUCAUGUAUCUUAGGAGUAAACUACUUUAGUAGCUUAGUGCUAUCAUAGUGAGUAGAGAGUGAGGAGUUCCAAGGAGGAGUCCCGGCCUGUCGGGAGUUUUCUUCGCGGAGCACCUCAGCGGAAGCAGGUCUUCUUGUAAGUCUUACUUCUGAGUCUUUUCUAGUAUUUAAUAUUUGGUCUGGUACUUUAAGUAUAAGAAUCCUUUACUGGCACAUUGCUUGAUCUUGAGUGCUCUUAGCUUUAGCUAAGCUUAGGGUAGCAAGAGCUAGUUUAGACGUGGUGUCUAGACUACUUCUUGCCAGUGUGGACUCCUUGUCGCAGUUGUGUAGACACCUAGUGUGAGAGUGAUAGUCCUCGCUAGGCGGAAAGUUCCUCGCAUCUGUUGUAGGCAAGUUGCAAAUAAUAGUUGGGCUGAGCAGGGUAGUCGCUUAGGAGACGAGGAGGUGAAAAACUUCAUUAACUCAAUCCUCCUUUUCGGGUAUCGCCCUCAGUAAAGAGUUAGGUGAAAAACCUUGACUAUACUUAAUUACCAAGACCAGGCAUUAAUACUAGUUAGACCUCUCUACCCCAUUAUCCUAGACCCUUUGAUCAUCACCUAACGAUCUAAAGCCUAGUUAAUUCACUUCGCGUUCCGCGUGGAAAUCACGAUACCUGGAAUACUCCCGGUGAAGGCUACAUUGACUACCGUACGCUUGCGGUAUAACCGUUUGCCACUUCUGGUGUCAACAGCUAUCGAAACUUCUUCUUCUUGUCAAGGAACUGGUUCUGUCUCUUUCUCAAGGAUAUAAAAGUUAGGAGACUUUCCACUUAAUAAAUCAAUCAAAUUCCAAGCUUCACUAGCAGGUAGGUGAUAGAAGGAUCCUCUAGAGGCUGUAUUCAAGGUUUGCUUAUUUUCCCUACUAAGGCCCUCAAAAAAGUGAAUUAGAAGAACUUCUGGAAUAGAAAGCUUUGGGCCAGUGAGAGUAAGGUUAAUAAAGCGGUCCCAUGAUUUCCUAAGAGAUUCUUUUUCCAGUUGUCUAAAAGAAAUAAUCUCACGCCGAAGUUCCGCCACUUUGGAGAUUGGAAAAUAUUUAGAAAGAAAACUACUAUAUAACUCCUUCCAAUCUCCAUGAACACUCCCUAUUUUGAGUUUGUACCAAUGUCUAGCUUUUCCCGUUAAAGAGAACGGAAAGAGCUUCCAUUUGAGGGUCUCAUCGGACAUUCCUUCUAUGCGAAGGAGGUCAUAGACUCGAUAAAACUCUCUUAGGUGUGUGUAUGGGUUUUUCUCACCUUCUCCUGAGAAAGGUUGUUUUUGAACAAAUUCUAUGUAUUCGGGGUCUAUCUCAAAACUAGAUGCUAUGAUGGCUUUGAAGAUUUUGGUGGUUCGAGAUGUGUGCCCGUAGGUCUAUGAAAUUCAUAGAUAGACAUGUUUGAAUUCAUGAUAGACCAGAGAUCAAGGAUUAGAUAAGAAGAAAGAUUAGCAGAGAUGAGGCAAAGGAUAAAAAGAAUUUUUUUUUAUUUUUUUAGAAAAUGAUUAAGCUAGUUCGUAGUCAACUCAGCAACCGUUUCCCCGGCAACGGCGCCAAAAAUGCUUGUUGACACUUGCUAACACCACUUGAAUACUAGGUUGUCAUCCCCAGCAUGGCACUAGAGUGUACUAUGGUAUUUAUACGCACACAGAUAAUCCGCAAGCGCACGGAUACCGUUGAAGCUUUUACCCGGUUAAAGCUUUUAUCGUAUCCACAGGGAAAUGGGAGAACUAAUCUACGCUCUAACUUAACCAAGAUAAGUAAAUAGGUGUAAAUAGGAAAGAUGGUAGAAUUGAAUAAGAACAAUAUUAAAGGUAAGAUAACAGUGAGUGAUAAUAUGGGAAUAGAGGUGGAUAAACCCUACCCGUCCUGCUAACGAGAGGUGGACUACAAAGGACCAAUGUAACUGUCACCAACGCGGCCUACCACACGAUCCAGCUAGACAGGGCAUAUCCACAUGUAAUCUAGAUCUAAGCACCUCGCUCACACCAAUACUACAACUCUAACCUAUAGCAUCCUAUCUAUACUAUAAUGGACCAAUUAAAACUAUUCUAGGUCUACCAACAAAAAUGUCCCGCGCUGAGAGUCUCUAAUCAUUAUGUACCCAGAAAAAUACACACAACAAAUCGGCUCUAUUAAAAUUAAAGGCUAAAAAAGACUCGAACCCAAUCCAACGGCUCAUGAUCAAAGUUUGAUGCCAGGCUUCAACGCACUGGCACCCCACGGGACCUCCAUCCGCACACGCAAGGCUUCAAAUGCGCAUCCUCUUAUGCAGACACCAUCGCGAGCAGGGUUCGAAGUCUGAGAACACGGAAUAAAAAAUGGAAAAUAUCAAGAUCAGUGCGCGAGCACCUCUAAUCCCACCUGCCGGCCACCUCCUCCCGGAUCGCAAGCUGACCUCGACGCCCUGGCCAUGCUCCUCACCGCCAAUCCCUCCCCCACCAGCCCUGCCACGCUCGAUCUACGACCGUCUCCUGAGUCCCGACGCUCCAGACUACUGCCACCAAUGGACGCAUCGAAGACGCCAUGGAUCUCGCGGCUAGGGUUCCCUACCGGUGCCGCUCGUCAGCCAUCUCCAAUCGUGCUCGCAGCUCCGGUCCAGGAUGCGCAGUAGUGGCCAUGGCCAGGUCAAGAGGAACCGUGCUCGCCAGCCCGCCCCAUGGCGCCCAGCGACGCCCUCGCCGGGGGCGCACGCGACGCCACCUCUGCGCGGUCCUGUCGGAGCCACACACACCGCCGCCUGGGCCCUUCUCGCCGCUGGUCGGCCAGCCAUGACAGCCUAGAUCUAUGCCCCGCCGGCCCCCUUGCUAGGCACGGGAGAUCGUGCCCCGCCACCUCAUGGAGAGAUCGCGCUCUCUUGCCAUAGAUCGAACCCCUGCAGACACACAAAGAGGUAACGCACCACCUGCUCGCUGAAUAUCGAGGACGACCUCGCCUGUGCCAUUCGUGGCCUCUCCUGGAGUUCAGAGCUCGCGCCUGCCCCAGGCCUUCAGAGGUCAUCUCGCAAGGUGAGAACUCUCCAACCGUGGAUUAACUGCACCUUUUGUGUGCCAUAUUUCAUUGCUGAAUUAACUUCUAACCAUGGAUUAACUUGCAUCUCUAGCAGCAGCUGAGCAACAAAUUAAGGGUGACUAGGCGAGACACACCUUCAGUAUGAAGUACGAGAUAUGUCCUCCAAGUACACUGCACACUGAUAUUCUUUAGAUCCCUUGAAAUUUUUAAUUAUUUGGCCUAAAAUUAAUUCAUGUUCUGCAUAUUACUUGUAAGUUAAAUAUCAGCCUCAAUAUUUGACAUGUGUUUUAGCUUUGCUUCUUGGUUAGUAACGAUGAUAAAUUAUUUGUUGAAAGUUAAAUGAAUUAGCAUAAAUUUUCAAAUGAAUGGACUGAAUCAACGUGAUUCAGAUUAGCAGAGAUAGAAGGUUGAACUUUUAAAUUCUUUAGUGCAUCUCAUAAUAAGCACAGCAGUACAACACAGUCUCUAAGACCGUGGUGGUCAUAUAUGAGUUGAUUAAAUCUUGAAAUGCUGCAGUUGAAGUCAAAAUGCAGCACCAUGAUGGUUUACUAUGGAUAGGAUUGAAUAAUGGUAUAUGUAUAAAAAAAGUAGACUUUCGGUUUCUGCCAACUCAUUAUCUUUAAUCUGACAUUUUUAUGCUAUAAUAAAACUAAUGCAAGGACUUUGUUGGAUUAGUCUCAUUUGUACAUAGUACCAUAUAUCUUUAUUUGCCAUGCACUAGAUGGAUUUGAGUAGGUACAAAGAUGGGUCGGUGUUGACGGUCCUUAAGUAUCAAAUUUACUUAUCAAAUAAACAAAGAAAAGGAUCCAAAUGAAAUCAACAUGUAGACUUAGGGUUUUAUCUAACAGAAUUCCACGAGUUUUGGUGUUUGUCUAUUUCUGCAGGGGGUUAUCAGGAAAUAAGGAAGAAAGGCCCACAUGUCGGGAUUACAUAGAGAUAUCAACCCACCGCGCAAUUUUCUACCAUCUAAAAGACUCCAGAAGCCACGGGAAGGAAGCGGAGCCCGAAAGGGGCCAAGCCCAGGGCGCCUGCCCUGAGGACCUGGGCGCCCGCCCCCCUCUGGACUCCGUUCCGGACUCUCUUCGCACACGACGUUCCACCGACCUAUUGGAUCCAGAAUAACAUAGUACCACCUCGCCUAUCGACCCAAAAACGCAUAGAAGGGGAGGACUAUAUAAGGAGACCCCCUCUGGCCCCUGGAGGAGACAAGAAAUUAUCAUAGAGAUUGAGGGGUGCCCUCGAAGGAAAACCUCUUCUCUAAAUAAUAUUUCUUUUUAGGCUUAGCAACCAAUGUAAAGUAGAAAUAGAUCUUCUAGUUUCUACUAGAUUGAGAGAGAUAAAGUGGAGGUGUGGAUCGGAGGAAGGCCGGCCUGUCGGUGUCUACUCCGAGUUGUACCUGCGGGAUCAAGUCUCCUAACCCGAGGCUUGCUUCUAAGAUUCUUCAGUAAUUCGACUUCUAAUACUAGUAAGUUCUUGUUUUAUUGUUCUUUGGUUUAUGAGUUUACUUUAAUCCUCUUCCGGUUAAGUAUUAGAGUAAUCACUUGUUAGCGUAAACGUGGUGUUUAGGCUAGGGUACUCAUAGAUAUCCCCUGACUAGCUGGACCGUGGUACUAGCGAGGAACGUGACAUUUCCGAGUUACCUUUGCACAUCACAUCUCGUUAGCAGGACGAGUAGGUUUAUAGGUGCGGGUCGAACAUCCUUUGUGUUGUCUAGAUUCCGUGAGCCUCCCCAAUAGAACAGUAGAUCAUCCUUACCAAGGUUAGAACGAGACUACAGUUGCAGUCUUCUCUAUACAUCACUCACAUCGAGAGACAUUCUUUGUAGUCUAAAGGGAUAGUAGCAAUAGAUUUGGUUAGUCAGAUGCACCCUUUCUCCCAGUGGUAAAAAUAUAAAUACGAUAACUCUGGAUAACCUCCCGAGUGAAAUGCUCACCGAUAUCCGUGCGCUUGCGGAUCAUUUCCUUAUUGCGUUACCAAAUAUCAACAAGCAUUUCUGGCGCCGUUGCCGGGGAGAAAGAUGGUUUGCUGAGAUAACUUCGAGUCUUGCUAUUAUCUUGUAUUAUACUUUUAUACUUUUAUUCUUUUAUCUUUUUAUUAUUAUCUUUAUGGAUAACUUAAAUUUCAUAUGUAUUAUUAAAUUCUUUGCACCUUCGGAGACCAGCCAUAGUCCAUGGGAGUCAACACGUCCUGCCCCUAAUUAUGAUCUGUGUCCGGAGUUGAUUGCAAUAGGUCAAAACCAACCCUUUUCUAUAGCUGAGAUCCUAUCUUUUAAUCAAGAAGAUAAUGCACUUUUAGCUACAUCUAGGGAAUCUUUUAAUCUUUCUAUAAAUUCUGGUUUAGACCUAGCCCUACAAGACCAUGUUUUUCCUAAAUAUUUUCACAUUGGUCUUAAUCAUAUAACCUUUGGUAGAGUCCUUCUUUCUUUAUCUAUUAGUAAAGGAAGGUAUGUCUUCAUUCGUGGACAUCCUUCUUGUACUAGUCUUCAUAGAAAAAUCUUAGAGAUAGAGAAGGAAUCAUCUCCCAUACAAGGAGAGGAAGUUUCAAUAGCCGAUUUCCAAAGAUUUCAAUCCCAUAAUUCGGCUAUCCAACCCAUCCUUGAGCUUAAUAAAUUCUACUAUGCUCUUUCUCUUAAACCUCCCGAUAAUCCUAUGAAUCUCUCUAGACAUCCCAUGCAUAAGAAGGAGGAUCGAGAAGAGCAACAUCAAUGGCUAAAGGGCAUUAAAAAUCCAUGUGCUAUCACCAUUGAAUGGAUAGAUAAAACAAAUUUGAGAGACAAUCCUAGAGGAAUUUUAAGCAUUCAUGAAGAAUCAUCCUUGGAGUUUGAGAAUGAGAGAAACAACAGUGAGCAUGGAAGUUAUUUCAUAAAUACCUUACCCAGUCCUUGCUCAUAUAAAACAUCUCUCCAAUCAAUUAGUCUCUCCAUCCUUAUCACAUUUGAGAUCUCCAACCCUCUCUUCUUUUCUAUUUAUAAAAACUUUAAAAGAGCGGUUGUCGAUGCAUAUGUCUAUAAUAAAUAUUGCAGAUCUCGUUGAGUUAAUUGAUGGUUUCCCAAGGACAAGCUUAGUGUCCUAAAACAAGCACUUCUAAUUAUUUGCAACAUUGCCUUGUGUAUUGAGCAUAUAAAGAUAAUUGUAGAAAUAUUCCUUUGGGUAUUCUUGUCACUAACCUUUCCAGGAUUGGAGCAAGAAGAUCGGAUGAAUGGCAAGCACAAGGUAUGUCCAACCAAUCAUCAUGCAACAUUGAAUUAAAUUCAUCCAAUCUUGAAUUUUGCAAAAUUCAAGCUUGGGGGAGUACUUUACAUAAAAACAUCAUUUGCCAUGUUGCUAUGUUGGUUGUCCUUACCUUUGAGACAUGCUCAAUUUGUUAAAUACUAAUUACACUACUUCACCUCCACUUGAGUAGAUCGCUAUAAAUGCUCUCAUGCUACCUUUAUUUGCUUUAGUAUAUGUCUAGGUUUGGAGUAGUUUCAUUUAUCUCUUAAAUCAAGCAUGGUGCUUAGUUUAGGAAUGAUGAUCUUACUUCCAAAGGAUUUUUAAAUUAAGCAUGGUGCUUAGGUUAAAAUGCCCUCCUAAAUCAAAUUAGACAUGGUGUCUAGGUUGAUUUUUGAGCCGAUAGUAUGCUAUAGUAGAUAUGGGAUAUUUUGUUGGACUAACCCCUACAGGAAAAUUUUCAAUAUCAACCUGGGAAGUCCUGAGAUAAACUCACAUUGGAGAUAGUGACACAUGAAGUUUAAACAAUUUGCACAAGAAAGACGUAGCUCGUAAGAGAUGAUUCAUGGAGGGUGCCACAAACACGAUGCACAACCGCUAAGAAAGGAAAGCUUCCACAAGGUGAUACUGUACCGUCACUCUUCAAGUAAGGUAACAUUUUAAGGUACUUGACUAUCACUUUUAUAAGCUUCUCCUUGGUUCUAGCAUUCACAUAAAAUAAAGAGACAAACAUGUAUGAUUUGUAGCUCCAAAUUAAUCAACCCAAUUAAUUCAACAUGUUUAGUCCUUUAAUCUUUGUUCUUAGUACUACCUUCGUGAUCCCACACUCCUAAUCAUAUAAGCUAAAGUAUUGCACAUUCAAUCUUUGCAAGAUAUAAACAAAACAUAAAUAUAGAUAGAUUAUCUUUCCAUUAGGUUGAGCCAUCUGAUCUAACAAAUGUUUUAAAUGCUACACUCAUGAUCCAUCAACUUUGUCUUGCUCACUAUGCUUAAGGUUAGAGAAGAACAAAUACACUUUUGGUUCUGUUGGUGUUUUCCACCAACAGGGCCCAUGCACUUGAUCUCUGCCUUGUCUCUAUGAGCAGGACACAUUUUGAGAAACGUGAAGGCGUUCUACAACUCCCAGAUUCCAUCAAGUGAAGAACCGGGAUCUACAAGCACAAACACAAUGGAGAUCAGACACUUAGUUUCCCAAAGGAAAUAUUGAAGAACCUCUGUGUUCGAGUUGGUACCUUGUACACUCCAGCAAACUUCAUGGUGAUAGAGACUGGUAGUGAGGAGAGGGCACCCAUCAUCUUAGGGAGGCCAUUCCUAAACACCAGAGCUGUCAUCUACGCUAAUGCUGCCAAGAUCAGUCUCUACAUCAGAGGGAAGAAGGAGACUUUCCUUCAAGAACAAGACUACACAAACUUCAGAGCAAUCCCGACAUGAACCAAGGAAGAGGACCAAUAGGAGGAACAGGAACAAGCAAAUGUGGACUAAGUCAGCUAAGAUGGUCACUGCAGCUCAAGGAGGUCAAGAUCGUCGACUCAAGUCACCUUUCUUGAUCAAGAAGGACGACACUGGUGUUCCAAGAAUCGAAUGCACAAACAAUGGAUACUCUUUUUAGAAGACACUCUACGACACCGGAUCUGACGACAACAUAAUGGCCGCAGUCACUUAUCAGCUCCUGCAUGGAACCAUGCCCCUACAACCAAGAUACAUUCAGCUUCAAACAAUUUUCAGGUCAUUGACAUAGGAGAAGAUGAGUAUGAUUCAUCCACCAUCCUUGGAAGACCGUUCCUCAGCACUAUCAAAGCCAUUAUCUAUAUUGGAACCGGAGAAGUCCACAUGCACUUCCCCUCUGCGAAAGGUACGCCACUACUUUAAUGAUUAUAUAGUUGAAGAUUCUAAGCAGGUCAGGACAAGAAGAAGACAAACCGCAACCAGAGGAGGCAAAUCAGACGGAUGGGUAGACUACGAAGGAGAAGCGAUAAGGACUGAAGACAUACAACUUGAACAGAACUGUCCUGAGGAGACCGUAGCACCGAGUCAGGUGUGGAAAGAGAAGAUAGUUAUACACGAAGAGGAGUCGCCGCCGGAACCACCGACUACGCCACCCAGCAAAUCCCAGGACGACUAAGAAAACGGAGAGUCCCGUUCGGAGGACUUAAAAAUACCGAACGCCUUGCCAAGAGGUAAACUUGGUAGUUAUCCUUUCCCUUUUAAUUAUUUCAAAUAGUUUACUUAGUUAAUCAUGUUCGUAUUAUCCUAGAAAGAAAAUAAAAAUGUGAAAAAAAACUGUAAGCCCCAUGUGAGUAGACGAGUGGCAUAAAACCCAUAAGUACAUUCACUGUGGUGGCAUAAAAAUAAAAUAAAUAUUUUUCUGCUUUAUAAAAACAAAAAUAUAAAAACAGGGAGUAAUAUUUAUUAAGGAGUCUCAACAUGAUAAAGGCUAGAUAUUUAUGCUAACGCUUAAUCAGUUCCACAAGCUUUGUUGUCUAUUUGAGCUCCACAGAAUUUAAGAAUCAAGAAGACUAGCAGACGGAGGACAUUCUAAUCGCUGUCAAAAUACUGCUGACUUUCAAACACACCUCUGCCACCUGCUAGCUACAUCAAGAGAAAUUACGUCAAAAUUCAGCUUGGGGGAGAGCACCCCCAUUUAUCUCGAUAAGUAUUUCUAUCUAUCUUUAUACUUAUACUAUAUUAGAAUAUAAAUACACCUAACUAUAAAAAACCAAAUAAAGAUUUUAUGCUUAUAUAUAUUUUGCUUAGUGUGUUUAAUAAAUAAAUAAAGUGGCUAUGCUAAUCUGUAUCUAAUAAAACUUUAGCAUGGAUAUGAUGAAUAAUUGCUCUGCCUAAUUUGCAAAUUUGAAGUUCUCUCUCAAGUUUAGAUAUAACUGUUAUAAUUUAAGGCUUGCUCUAGACCUAAACUUGUGGGAUGAAAACUUGAUCUGAAGUCUAAGUUGUUAACGGAUACGAUAUGGGAAGGUUGAGCUGCUGUUUAUCUGUUCCUAGGGAUGCUAGAAUUCUGGAGAAUUUUAUCUUUAAAAAUCUUUAAAAUGUUGCAUGAUGAGUUCCUGUAUGAUGAGAGUUUAAAUUCCUACCACAGCCAUAUAUACAUGCUUGCUAGACCUUGAGCCACACAUUUACUAUUUACUGCUUAUGAGCAUCGAGUGUGGUCAAGCUGUGUAGACCCUUAGGAGCUUGUCAUGUGGUUAAAUCAAGAUUCACUUGCACGAUUACUCAUACAUGCUACUUCUACUCCGGAAGUACCAUCCACAUAUAUCCACUCAUUUCUAUCUCCAGUUUUACCCAAAAUUAUUCUACUCCUAAUCCGGGAGAGAAUAGCCAAAAACAUUUUUCUAUCCCUGUUAUUCCAUGUGAAAUAAAUGCUCCAGUUAUUUUGGUUACUACCACUUGCUACAUUAUUUCAGGAGAUGAGUGCUCUAGUAAAAAAAAAGAGAAAAAAAAGAAGAAAAAAAAGAGAAAAAAAAAUAAUAUACGAGGAAAUGAAAAGGAGCAAGUGCUCGGAACCUCGAAAGAAAAGAAAAAGAAGAGCAUCUCAUUCUCCUCAUAAAGUUUCAAAAGCAAGGAAGGUAUGUAUCCCCUCAAAGAGCAAAGUAGAAUUAGACUUCCACCACCAUUGUUAUCACCAUCAUCACCAUACACCAUUCAUUCACCACACAUGCACAUCUUGAUUUGGCUUAUUGAUUUGUUUCUUUGGAUCCAUGGUUUGACUAUGCAAAAAAAUGUCUUGUAAGUAUGUAUACUUUAUCUCCCACCUAUGAGCUCCAGAUAUUAAAGCCUUAUUAGAGUAGGGUGAGAGAGAAGACAAUGUCACUAUGCUUCAUACCACAAAUACUACAUAUUUUGAGAGAAGGCAUAUACCAUCACUGCCUUGGUAAGGAUCCAAAAAUACCACAAAAGAGAGACCUGAGAGAAUCAUACAAGGAAUUUCUGAGUUUUAUUUGAAAAUCUGCAAAAACCCCAGAGCUAUAGCUGAUCAAGAAUAAGAGACAUGGCACUUGGCUAGACUGUUCUAUCUUUUAACCACUCAAGACAGAAGUGACAGUUACAAGUCCCAUGGUAAAGGUAAAGUAAGUAAGUUUUAAGUCUUGACAGUUUACUCUAACUCAGAGAUGAGAUCUUAUUUAAAAAGCAUGUGUAGAUCAAUUUUUAGAAAUAUUGCAACAAUUUAUGAUCCAUAGUGAGUCUAUCCUUGCUCAGGGACGAGCAAGAGGUAAGCUUGGGGGAGUUUGUUGACGGUCCUUAAGUAUCAAAUUUACUUAUCAAAUAAACAAAUAAAAGGAUCCAAAUGAAAUCAACAUCUAGACUUAGGGUUUUAUCUGACAGAAUUCCAUGAGUUUUGGUGUUUGUCUAUUUCUGCAGGGUGUUAUCAGGAAAUAAGGAAGAAAGGCCCACAUGUCGGGAUUACAUAGAGAUAUCAACCCACCGCACAAUUUUCUACCAUCUAGAAGACUCCAGAAGCCACGGGAAGGAAGCGGAGCCCGAAAGGCGCCAGGCCCAGGGCGCCCGCCCUGAGGACCUGGGCGCCCGCCCCCCUCUGGACUCCGUUCCGGACUCUCUUCGCACACGACGUUCCACCGACCUAUUGGAUCCAGAAUAACAUAGUACCACCUCGCCUAUCGACCCAAAAAAUGCAUAGAAGGGGAGGACUAUAUAAGGAGACCCCCUCUGGCCACUGGAGGAGACAAGAAAUUAUCAUAGAGAUUGAGGGGUGUCCUCGAAGGAAAACCUCUUCUCUAAAUAAUAUUUCUUUUUAGGCUUAGCAACCAAUGUAAAGUAGAAAUAGAUCUUCUAGUUUCUACUAGAUUGAGAGAGAUAGAGUGGAGGUGUGGAUCGGAGGAAGGCCGGCCUGUCGGUGUCUACUCCGAGUUGUACCUACGGGAUCAAGUCUCCUAACCCGAGGCUUGCUUCUAAGAUUCUUCAGUAAUUCGACUUCUAAUACUAGUAAGUUCUUGUUUUAUUGUUCUUUGGUUUAUGAGUUUACUUUAAUCCUCUUCCGGUUGAGUAUUAGAGUAAUCACUUGUUAGCGUAAACGUGGUGUUUAGUCUAGGGUACUCAUAGAUAUCCCCUGACUAGCUGGACCGUGGUAGUAGCGAGGAACGUGACAUUUCCGAGUUACCUUUGCAGAUCACAUCUCGUUAGCAGGACGGGUAGGUUUAUAGGUGCGGGUCGAACAUCCUUUGUGUUGUCUAGAUUCCGUGAGCCUCCCCAAUAGAACAGUAGAUCAUCCUUACCAAGGUUAGAACGAGACUACUGUUGCAGUCUUCUCUAUACAUCACUCACAUCGAGAGACAUUCUUUGUAGUCUAAAGGGAUAGUAGCAAUAGAUUUGGUUAGUCAGAUGCACCCUUUCUCCCAGUGGUAAAAAUAUAAGUACGGUAACUCUGGAUAACCUCCCGGGUGAAAUGCUCACCGAUAUCCGUGCGCUUGCGGAUCAUUUCCUUAUUGCGUUACCAAAUAUCAACAGUCGGCAUACAAAGAAAUUAAUAGGGGUGUUGGAACUAUUCAAUUGAAACAUUUUAUAUUGAUUUUUUUAUUUAAAUAUCUCUAUUAUUUUCUCCUUGACCUUUAGAGCUUCAGCUCUCUUGGGAUUUGUGUGCUCAUCAAUCCUGUUGCUUGUAUAUGUGAGAUUUUGUGACAUAUUGCCUUCAAAAAAAAAAGUAAGUGCAGCUGAGUCUACUAAGACCUUCUGAAGUGAUAAUCAAAUCGUCUUUAUAUUUUUAAGUACGCUACAUAUAGAUAUAUUUGGCAUUGCUACAUUACUAGAGUGCAAAGUUAAAGUGGUUCAUUCAUUUAACCUAAAAGAUGCAUAAAUCUGAAAUGUUUCUCUUCGUGCCUAAAUAUGAAUAUUUAUAUAAUACACUAAUUUGAUGGUAAUUAUUGCACAUUUGCUUCAAUAUUAGUUCUUAUGCUAAGAAGUGUACACUUUUGCAUACUGGAAAUUUUAAUGAUCCCUUGCCCUCAAUGUUUCUAUUGUGGCUACCCAUCACAUGGUAUUUCGUAAGAUCAUUCGUUAACUAUCCUUUCCAGUAUUAAGCGUGCAUCUCACUUCUGAACUCAAGACUGCUUUUGUAGAUUAGAGAGGAUGUUAGAAACUCAAAGCUUCCUGUGUUUUCAUCAUUUAAAGAAAUACAAGGAGUUGGUUUUAACUAUGAAGCUUAAUCUGCAAUUAGAGAUGGAACUUGAAAAUGCUGCAUGUACUGACCAAGUGUAGUUACUCUGUUGUUUGCCUCUGAGCCACCUGAUAAGUCACAGUAUCCCCCUACAACCAACAUUAAUAUUUCUAUUUAUGUGCCUACAAUUUCAUAUGUUAGAAUGUGGUGCUUGAGAAUGUUUCCUAUGUUCGGAUGUGCAUAAUUGGUCAAACAAAUAUUUUUAUUUGUGUCUAAAAUUUCUUUUCUGACUAUAUAUAUUUUGUAAAAUCAAAUUUUAAGGGUUUUUUGUGUAAUUAUUGGGAAGUUAGGAUCCGUUUAUUUGCUCCAGAGAUUGGUUUUGCUUCAAAUUAGCUUGUAGUCUGAUUCUAUUUAUAUUCAAUUCUAUUCAAUUUUCGGUUCAGAAUUCUCAGUGCGUGAUUGGUUGCAGGGAAAUCAAAGUAAGAAAGGAGCCAUCAUAGCAGAGAUUCCGGAAGGUGUGGCCUUCCUAUUUCCUGUUGGGCUAUUGACUUGUUGAUAUGGUGUAGAAAACUAAAUCCUCAGAGAACAUUGACAGAUGCAAAGUAAUUUUUCACAUGCCAUAUGUUUCAUUCACGAGAACACUACCCAGUGCUUGCUGUAUCACCAAUGGUUAUCAAUCAUAUUAUUGUCAUGGUCGUUAAUAUGGCUUGAAAUAGAUGAUGUUGACACUUUGUAGAUUGUAAUAAUUGUUAAACUGCUUCCCAGCUUGAGUAUUAAUAGUAUUUCAAAAACGGAAAUUUGUAUUUCUCUGGUCAUGGAUAUAUUUUCUCAGAUUUUGUAUUUCUCAGGUCAUGGAUAUUUUUUCUCAAAUACACUCUGCAGCUUGCAUGUUGCUUGCCAUUGUUAAACUGCUUCCCAGUGAGAGUCUUAAUAGUAUUUCAAAAAUGGAAAUUUGUAUUUCUCUGGUCAUGGAUAUAUUUUCUCAGAUUUUGUAUUUCUCAGAUCAUGGAUAUUUUUUCUCAAAUACACUCUGAAGCUUGCAUGUUGCUUGCCGUGCUGGAUAAUUGUUCAUUUUGUCGGUGAUCAAAAUUUUAUCUCCCAUUGCAGCACAUGGGUCUUGUUAUGCAAGAGUGUUUUCUAGAUUAUAUACAUGAUCAUAUACAAUUACACAAAACUUACACUAUGAAAAAAAAUAUCAUCCUUUGAUUAUUUUCAUGCAUCCCUAAAAUAAACCCGUGGCGUUAGCACGGGCACUAUACUAGUAGAUUAGAAGUACUCGAAAGAGUUGUGAACCAGAACAUACAUGAUUAGUAAUUGCAUAAUGAAUUAGAAGUAGAUUACCAGAGUCAUCCCAUGAGCAAGCUUGAUUAGAGCUUGAUCAUGACGAAGUACAACCGGAGGAAGAACCGACAGGCCGGCCUCUCCUCUAAUCCUCCUUCACUCUCCAUCUCGCUACUAUCUAGAUCUACUCUAGUUUAGAGAAGAGAGGAGAGCUCUCAUCUCUAAACCCUAGCUUUUGCUCUGUCUAUGAAUAAUGAAUAAUGAUCAAGGGGUGCCUCCUCCAGGGGCCAGGGGUUCUGGUUAUAUAGUCCCCUCAAGUGAACCUGGGCCGUCGGAUCAAACCGACAUUGAUUGAACGGUUAUUCUUGAUCCUUUAGGUCGGUGGAGAUCUCUCGAGAGGAAGAGUCCUGAUUGGGCUCCAAGUCAGGGCGGGCGCCCAGGGCAGGAGGGCGGGCGCCCUGCCUCUGGCCCCGUUCGGCCUCCGCUUCCUUCCCGUGGCUUCUGGAGUCUUCUAGAUGUAAGAUAAUUGUGCGGCACGUUAAUAUCUCUAUGUAAUCCUGACGUGUGGGCCUUUCUUCCGUAUUUCCUAAUAACCGCCUGCAGAAAUAGACAAACACCAAAACUCGUGGAAUUCUGUCAGAUAAAACCGUAAGUUUAGAUGUUGGUUGUAUUUGGAUCCUUUUCUUUGUUUAUUUGCUGAUUAUAUUUGGUACAUAAGGACCGUCAACACCCACCGAACGGGUUCGACAGCCGAUCUCAAGUACCCGAGUCAGGGAUGCCUAGCGAGCGGUCGAAAAACGAGGCUAGCCUCGAGGACUCGCUGGGGAUGUCCAAGGUGAGGACGAGACGGUCGAGAGGAAUCCCCCUGAGGGGAGGCAUCGAGCCGCUGGACUCUAUCGAACGAGACCAGUAACCCCGACCACGUCAACCCCGCUUUAUGAGAACGCCUCCGGGCUACAGCGGACCCCCUCGAACGGGGCACAGGUUCUCACUUGGAUUACCCGCUAGGAGCUCAAUCUGGGGUAGAUGGCGCUCGCUCCACAGGGAGUACGUCACAACCCCGACGCAAACAUCAAGAGCGCUUCCACAGAUUGGGCAACAUAACCCUCAAAGGAGUCAAAACUGUUCCAAGGGCUCGGGGGCUACCCCCGCGGGGUCGCUCGCGCGGCCCCACGGAAUCUCGACCAAUAAGAAGAGCCUCUACUAGAGCGCAAGCGCUCGAAUAGAGACUCGGGGGCUACUGUCGAGGGUAUCGGUAAGGGGUACCCUAACUGAUGCACAUGACGAGAGCAGACGCACGAUUAUCUACAUCUGUAGCCUCGAACGCGAAAAGAGCGUCGUGCGAAUCGACUGGGGCUCGAGCGCCGGCUACCGUCAAAUACAGAAAUAGGCUCGUACGAAUCGAAAGGCCUCGAGCGCAAAGAUGCCGCCCGCCGCCUGACGCGGGCACGGCAACCAGGGCAUUUAAUGCUCCUGCCGUGUUCCCACCUAAGCCGUCAGUCACGGGAAGCGUGAUAGGAAACCAGCACCUGUCCAAUCAUUCUUUUUGCAGCCUUGCCCACCAAACGAGCCAGAGCAUGGUAGGGAGCAGCGAGGUGGUCGAAACGUCCCGUCAAGACCUCCCUCGAGACAUCCAAAGUCAGCGCUCCGCUCAGCAAGGCUUUAAGCGACGUUUAACCCUCGAGCAGGCAUGUUCCUUCCUCAAGAAGGGUCGGGCAACGGAGGACGGCACCUCAACCACUCUGACGCGCCCGCAGUCACGACGUACAAGCGUGCAACGGAUAAACCGAUCCAGGACGGUGCACAGGAGCAGGAUUUAGGGGCACGCAUAAUCAUCGUCAAGGUACCAAGACAAGACGGCUUGAGGCCACGCCGGUACGGAGGCCUCGAGUAGGUCAGCGCGCCUUACCCCUAUCGACCCCUAUUCUGUCGCCUAUACAUGUACCCUAGACCUCUCCUUGGAGCUAUAAAAGGAGAGGCCAAGAGCGGAUACGCAGAAGAACACAAGACAUACGUAGUAGAGCACCCAUACUCCAUCUCCAUCCCACGCCUGUAUUCACCCCUGUACAAGCACUUAGGUGCAAGAUAAUACAAACACUCCCCCCCGCUGGACGUAGGGCCUUCUCUUGCCCGAACCAGGAUAAAUCUUUGUGUCUUUUCUUGCAUCACCAUCUUGUUGAGGAUAUCAGUAAGGGGUAUCCCAACUGAUGUACAUAAUGAGACUGCCCGUACAUAGGUCGAGGCCCCCAACUCGAUGCUCUAAUCAGUCACACGCACAGUCAUCUACGACCGCAGCCUCGAAGACGGAAAAGGCGUUGAGCGAAUCGGUCAGGGCUCGAGCGCCAGCUACCGUCGAAUACGAAAAUGGGCUCGAGCGAACCAGGAGGCGUCGAGCGCAAGGACACCGCCCGCCGCCUGACGCGCGCACGGGAACCAGGGCAUCUAAUGCGCCUGUCGCGUUCUCACCUAACACGCCAAUCACGGGAAGCGUGAUUGGGAACAGGCACCCGUCCCGUCAUUCUUUUUGCAGCCUUCCCCACCAAACAACCCAGAGCGUGUCAGGACACGGGAAGCAGGGAUAGAACGUCCAAUCAGGACCCCCUCGAGACAUCCAGGGUCAACGCUCUGGAUAGCAGGGCGUUACAUGGCGUCUGACCCUCGACCAGACAUGUUUCCUUCCUGGGGAAGGGUUGGACGACAAAUGGCAACACAGCAACCACUCCGACGGAUCUGCCGUGCUGCCGUACAGGUGUGCAACCAGUGAACCAGUCCAGGACAGCGCACAGAGCAGGAUAUCAGGGCACGCGUAAUCAUCAUCAAGCUACCAGGACGGGACGGCUCGAGACCACGCCGGUACGGAGGCCUCGAGUAGGUCCACGCGCCAUGCCUCUAUCGACCCCUACUCUGACACCUAUGCUUGUACCCUGGGCUUCUCCUUGGAACUAUAAAAGUGGAAGCCUGGGAGCGAAUACAGGGGGCAAUCACGCAACACUACACCCAUACGCAGUAGAACUUCCACCUUACUCCAUACCACGCUUGUAUUCACCCCUGUACAAGCACUUAGGUGCAAAAUAAUACAAACUCUCCCCCCCGCUGGACGUAGGGCCUUUUCUUGCCCGAAACAGGAUAAAUCUUUGUGUCUUUUUGCAUCACCAUCUGGAAAAGGGAAGCACGCACACAAAUUUACUCGUUGGUGUGACCCCCCGUGGCUCGGUAGGUAGGGGUCCUGCGUGUUUUUCAUCGAUUUCCCAUUCUUUUCCAGAUGGCCACUCUUUCUUCACCGAUUCCGCGCUCCAUGGUGAUUUGGUUUGGGAGUCUCGAGUUCAUGUCUACUGGCUCCGGCUAUGACAUGAUCUUGCUCUCGAUCAAAGGACCGGGAGGAGCCCGCGUUGCGCCAACACGGAUGAGGGCCCCGAGACGUCCUCACCACCAUGCCUCCCCGCCCAAGAAGAGGCGUGGACAGCACCACCAUCGCCCUUCUGCCUCGCCACGACCGGCAGUCCGUGCCAGGCAGGAAACGGCACGAGAGCCGAUUGCCCCGCGCACCACGGGCACGACGGCUCAGCGCCGCGAGGAUCGCACGAUGACGGGAGGUGACGCACCACGCGCACUCUCCCCCACCGCCAGGCUACUUCCACACGGGCUGUACGCCUCAAGAGGAGCCUUGUUGUUCGGCCUGGACAAUGCCGCAGCGUCACUCGCCAGGGCGAUAUGCCCAAACGCCCAGACGUACGUGGAGAGACCAAUGGUCCUCCCACGCGACCCUGAAGCACGGCCAUGGGCAUCCGAGCUACCAGACUUCUCGUAGGUACAAGGCCUCCGCUGCCUAGGCCCUGGGCAGUACACGAUUACAUCCCUCAGGCAGCAGCUGCUGGAGGAAGGACGCGGAUGUUUCUACGCCGCCGAGCUAGACUCUAGCUCGGAAUCCGACAGCCACGCCCCUACUAGGGAGUGCUUCCAUAUCGACAGAGCGGUGGAAACCAACGACGAGACACAGGACGCCGUUGCAGGUGGGCGAGACCCUACAAUGAGAGAAGACCCCAGGACGCCUGGGAAUGACGGUCAGAUUGACCCCCCUCCACAAGAAGACAGAGCCGCGCAAAUUGCGCAGCUACGAGAGCUCAAGGCAAAGAUUGACGAGGAUCGCGAGUGCCUCGUCCUGCUCGAGCAAAUCCUCGAGCAGGACCUACCUUACCCACCUGGCGGAAGUGUCCGCAGACGAGCACGAGAGGUGCAACGACAGAUCGUCGGAGACGCAGAGCCUGAGCAGCCCGUCAGCCGUUUCCCUCGAGCAGGCCAGAACGUUGUGGCAGCAACAAUGCUGCUGCGAAACAUGCCAGAACCGUCGAACUCCCAAGCUCGACGCAUCCGAGACGAGGUGCAGACUCUGCUCCAGGUGGUGGCAGUUCAGCAAGCCGAAAGCUCGGCUUCUCGACGUCGAGGAGCUGCCACUGAAAAACGCAAUGAGCCAGCCCAAAACGAAAAAGAGGUGUCAGUCCACCAGCAGCCACCCCCUCAAGGGAAAAAGACCACGCUCGUUCUCCCCAUCGACAAUCAGCGUCGACACGACGCGCGACGCGACAUUGAAGAGAAUCGACGCCGUCGGUACUGGGACGCGGAAGAGCGCGGUUAUAGUGCCCAUCGCGGUGGGAGGUACGACAGCGAUGAGGACCGGAUGGCUCCAGAGCCACCAGGCCCACGGGUGUCCAGCAGGGCAAUCCGUAGCAUGCCGCUGCCCAGCCCGUUCCGACCCCCGACUAGCAUCGCAAAGUACAACGGUGAGACCAAACCAGAGCUGUGGCUGGCAGAGUUCAGGCUAGCCUAUCAGCUGGGAGGCGCCCGGGGAGACGAUCGAGCCAUCAUCAGACAGCUACCGCUCUUCCUCUCCGACACCGCCCGCAGGUGGCUCGAGGAGCUCCCAGCUGAUCAGAUCCACGACUGGGUCGAUCUGGUUAGAGUAUUCGAGGGUAACUUCAAGGGGACCUACAUACGACCUGGAAACUCGUGGGACCUCAGUAAGUGCAAGCAGAAUUCAGGAGAAACUCUUCGAGAGUACGCUCGACGCUUCUCGAAACAACGCAUCGAGCUGCCGCACAUCCCUGACCACGACGUCAUCCAGGCCUUUGUCUCCGGUACCACCAGUCGAGACUUGGUACGGGAGUUCGGCCGGAAUCGCCCUCAGACCGUCGACGAGCAGAUGGACGUGGUGGCCAACUACGUCGUAGGAGAAGAAGCGGUCGGCGCCUUCUUUAGCUGUGAAGGAAGGAAGGGCAAGCUGCCCGCCGACGAUGACGAGGGCCCCAGUCGAGGGCCCAAGAAGAACAAGAAGAAGAAGAAGACACGGCCGUUCCAACGGGAAGACCUCGAUGACGAUCUCGUCGCCGCCAUGGAACGCAAAAGGGCUCGAGGCCCUCCAGAGGCGGGCAUCUUUGAUAAGAUGCUAAAACAGCCGUGCUCUUACCAUAAAGGAGGAGCCAACCACAAGCUCGAGGACUGUCGUAUGCUGAAAAAGCAUUUCGACGGUCUGGGGUUCAAGAAGGACGCGUGCGACGACCCCAAGAAGGAGAAGAACGACGACAGAAACAACGACGGUUUCCCAGCCGUCCACGAUUGUUACAUGAUCUAUGGUGGCCCCUCGACGCAGUUGACCACAAGGCAGCGCAAGAGGGAAUGCCAUGAGGUCUUCGCGGCAAGAAUGGCGGUGCCCCAGUACCUCAGCUGGUCGAGCACCCCCAUCACCUUGAAUCGAGAGGACCAUCCCGACAAGGUAGUUGCCCCUGGCGUCUACCCGCUCGUCGUCGACCCCAUCAUCGUCAACACCCGGCUCUCAAAGGUGCUGAUGGACGGUGGCAGUAGCCUCAACAUCAUCUACCUCGAGACCCUCGACCUCCUCGGCAUCAACAGGGCGCGGCUCCAACCAAGCGCCGGAGGCUUCCACGGUGUCGUUCCUGGGAAAAAGGCGUUACCGGUAGGUCGAAUCGACCUACCGGUCUGUUUCGGUACGGUGGCCAAUUUCAGAAAGGAGACCCUCACCUUUGAAGUGGUGGGGUUCCGAGGCACGUACCACACCAACAUCGGGCGCCCGGGCUACGCCCAGUUCAUGGCUAUCCCCAACUACACCUACUUGAAGCUGAAGAUGCCCGGUCCCAAGAUCGUCAUCACCGUCAGCUCCUCCUUCGAGCACGCGUACGAAUGCGACGUCGAGUGCGUCGAGUAUGGGGAGGCGGUCGAGAAUUCCACUGAGCUCGCCUCGAAGCUCGAGGCCCUGGCCGCUGAGGCCCCAGAGCCCAAGCGCCACGCGGGCAGCUUCGAGCCGGCGGAAGGAACCAAGAAGAUCCCGCUCGGCCCCAACAACUCCGAUGGCAAGGCGCUGACGAUCAGCACCGACCUCGACCCCAAAUAGGAAGCUGUGCUCGUCGACUUUCUCCGUGCAAACGCCGACAUGUUUGCAUGGAGUCCCUUGGAUAUGCCUAGCAUACCAGGGGAAGUCGCCGAGCACUCCAUGAAAAUUCGAGCCGGUUCCAAGCCAGUGAAGCAACGGUUGCGCUGAUUCGACGAGGAGAAACGCAAGAUCAUUGGCGAGGAGAUCCAAAAGCUUUUGGUGGCCGGAUUCAUCAAGGAGGUUCACCAUCUCGACUGGUUAGCAAAUCCUGUGCUAGUUAAGAAAAAGAAUGGGAAAAUGAGGAUGUGUGUCGAUUACACAAGUUUAAACAAAGCAUGUCCGAAAGUUCCUUUUCCGUUACCUCGUAUCGAUCAAAUUGUUGAUUCAACUGCGGGAUGUGAGACCCUUUCUUUCCUUGAUGCAUAUUCUGGUUACCAUCAAAUAAAAAUGAAAGAGUCCGGCCAGCUCGCGACAUCUUUCAUCACACCUUUUGGGAUGUAUUCUUAUGUAACUGUUGGGUAUUUUAAACGCAAACAGACAAAUCCGUAAGCGCACGGAUACCGAUGUAGCUUUCACCCGGGAGUAUUCCAGAGUAUCGAUUUUCCACAGAGAACGUGAGUGUACUAAUCGAGAUCCAAAAUCGCCCAAGGAUAAAUAUAUAAUUAUUUUUGGUGGGAAGAGAGGAAGUUUCCUGAGAGUUCUCUAGUUGAUCUAAGAAUCAAGAAUUACUUCAAGAUUAUCUAUUUCGGGACAUCAGAACACUAACCACAGAAACAGAUGAGAAGGGGGCUAGGAAGCUUCGACUACGGUCCUACAAACACCGAUCCGAACGUGGUGGAAUACGUCGACCGUUAGGGCUGUCACUACCCUAAGGCUACCACAACAAUCCGCAGGAUUGGAUGCAAUUCCAGGUAAUUGCAAGACUAAACACCACGUCUAAUCUAUUAAUUACUACUCUAAUGUUUCAAAGAUUAGAGCACUUGAUGCAAGCGGGAAUCCAAUAAAUAACUUGAAUGUAAAUAAAAGUAAUUAGAGAACUCAAGAAUUAUGAAUUGAAGAACCUGGAGAACGAUGAAGAACAAACCAGUUGCUGCAAAAGAAUAAUGUUGAGGAAGAUCCGACAGAUCCGGCUCCUCCUUCGCUCUCCUCUUCUCUCUCCCUAUUUUCUAGAUUACAACUAGAACUAACUAGAACUAGAACUAGAGGAACUAGAACUAGAACUAGAUGAACUAGAACUAGAUCUAGAUGAACUAGAGGUAGAACUAGAAGAACUAGAGGGAUCCUCUCUAUUUGGAUGAAGAAUUGAAACCCUAGCUUUGAUUUUGUAGAAGAGGUAGGAUCUCCAGGGGCCAGGGUGUCUGGUUUUAUAGUCCCUUCAAGUGAAUCUGGGCCGUCGGAUCAAACCGACAUUAAUCGCACGGUUUUCCUUGAUCCUUUAGGUCGGUGGAGCAUAAUCCGCGAAACGUGUCCGAAUUGGUCUCUGGAAGUGGGCGGGCGCCCAAGGGACUAGGGCGGGCGCCCUGUGCCUGAGCCCUCUCGGCCUCCGCUUCAUUCCCGUGGCUUCUGGAGUCUUCUAGAUGGUAGAAAAUUGCGCAGCACGUUAAUAUCUCUAUGUAAACCCGACGUGUGGGCCUUUCUUCCGUAUUUCCUAAUAACCCCCUGCAGAAAUAGACAAACACCAAAACUCGUGGAAUUCUAUCAGAUAAAACCCUAAGUCUAGGUGUUAGUUGCAUUUAGAUCCUUUUCUAUGAUUAGUUGAUGCUUAAAUGUGAGCAUUAAGGACCGUCAACAGUAACGAUGCUGUUCGGGCUUUGAAACGCGGGAGCCACAUAUCAGCGUUGCAUGCUCCACUUGUUCGGCAAGCACAUAGGGUCGACGGUCGAGGCCUAUGUCGAUGACAUCGUCGUCAAGUCAAAGCAUCGGGGAGACCUGAUCCAGGACCUUGAAAUCGUUUUCAGCUGCUUGCGCGCCAACCAGAUCAAGUUCAACACUGAGAAGUGCGUUUUCGGCGUACCUCGAGGCAUGCUCCUGGGUUACAUUGUUUCCCAGCGCGGCAUCGAGGCUAACCCCGUGAAAGUCUCGGCCAUCACGAGAAUGGGGCCGAUCCAAGACGUCAAGGGCGUACAGAGAGUCACAGGAUGCCUAGCGGCGCUGAGUCGUUUUAUCUCGAGGUUGGGAGAAAAGGCGUUGCACUGUAUCGACUUCUGAAGAAAGUCGAGCGUUUCUCUUGGACCCCCGAGGCCAAGGAAGCGCUCGAUAACUUGAAGAAAACACUGACCUCUGCACCAGUGCUAGUCCUGCCUCAACUCGCAGAACCUCUACUUCUAAACGUCGCAUCGACGACCCAGGUCGUCAGCGCAGCAGUAGUGGUCGAGAGGCAGGAGGAGGGGCAUGCGCUGCCAGUCCAGAGGCCGGUCUAUUUCGUCAGCGAAGUACUCUCAGAGACCAAGGCACGCUACCCACAGAUCCAGAAGCUAAUCUACAUUGUAAUCCUUGCCCGACGCAAGCUGCAACACUACUUCCUUGGCCACCCCAUCACGGUGGUCUCGUCUUUUCCCUUGGGUGAGAUCAUCCAAAGUCGGGAAGCCACGGGAAGAAUCGCCAAGUGGUCGGUCAAACUCAUGAGUGAGACUCUCACUUAUGCGCCCCGUAAAGCUAUCAAGUCACAAGCCCUGGUGGAUUUCAUCGCGGAAUGGACAGACUCCCAGCUCCCCCCAGCUCAGGUUCAAUCAGAACUGUGGACGAUGCAUUUCGAUGGGUCUCUCAUGAAGACAGGAGCUGGGGCAGGCCUGCUAUUCAUCUCGCCCCUGGGCAUUCAUAUGAGGUACGUCAUCAGGCUACAUUUUGCCGCAUCCAACAAUGUUGAAGAGUACGAGGCCCUUGUCAAAGGUCUGAAGAUCGCCAUCGAGCUAGGAGUCCGACGCCUCGACGUUCGGGGUGACUCCCAGCUUAUCAUCGACCAAGUGAUGAAGACCUCGAGCUACCACGAACCGAAAAUGGAGGCGUACUGCAAGGAGGUCCGUCAACUCGAGGACAAGUUCCAUGGCCUCGAACUCGUCCACGUCGCCCGACGCUAUAACGAGGCGGCCGACGAACUCGCCUAGAUUGCGUCGACUCGAGGCACGGUGCCACCCGACGCGUUCUCAAGGGAUCUACACGAGCCAUCCGUCGACUUGGGCUCAGGGGCUGGUAUCGAAGCCGCUCCUACCCAGCAAGCCGGCACCGUCAAAGUGCUUCUAAUGGCAGCUGAGGUGAUGGAGGUGGAACAAUGGCCCAGUCGACCGUUUCAUUGGCGCACACCGUUCCUCGACUGCCUAAUCCGAUGCGAGCUACCAGAAGAUCGAUCCGAGGCCCGCCGAAUUGCUCGACGGGCCAAGUCAUACGUAAUCUAUGGCGAGAGCAAUGAGCUAUAUCGACGAAGCCCGACGGGGGUCUUGCAGCGUUGCAUCACCGUAUAAGAAGGCCGAAAACUCCUCGAGGAUCUACACUCGGGGGCUUGUGGCCACCACGCUGCUCCUCGUACCUUCGUAGGGAACGCCUUCCGACAAGGCUUCUACUGGCCAACGACCGUGUCUGACGCCAUCGAGCUCGUGCGCUCGUGCUGUGGAUGCCAGUUCUAUGCCAAGCAGACGCACCUGCCCGCCCACGCUCUCCAGAUGAUCCCUAUCACAAGGCCAUUUGCGGUAUGGGGGCUCGACUUAGUAGGGCCUCUACAAAAGGCAAAAGGGGGUAUACCCACUUGUUGGUGGCCAUCGACAAAUUCUCCAAAUGGAUCGAGGCUCGACCCAUCACCAACAUCCGAUCCGAGCAGGCCGUCCUUUUCUUCACCGACAUCAUCCACCGGUAUGGGAUUCCCAACGUCAUCAUCACUAACAACUGCACUCAGUUCACCGGUAAAAAGUUCUUGGACUUCUGCGAUCAGCAUCACAUCCGUGUGAACUGGUCUGCAGUGGCCCAUCCUCGAACUAACGGCCAGGUCGAGCGUGCCAACGGCAUGAUUUUGCAGGGUCUCAAACCAAGGAUCUACAAUCGCUUGAAGAAAUUCGGCAAGAAAUGGGUCGAGGAGCUUUCUUCGGUCCUAUGGAGCUUAAGGACGACGCCAAGCAGGGCCACGAAAUACACCCCAUUCUUCAUGGUCUAUGGCUCCGAGGCCGUGCUCCCAACGGACCUUGAGUAUGGAUCCCCUCAACUAAAAGCAUACAACGGGCAAUCAAAUAAGGAGACUCAAGAAAAUGCGGUCGACCAACUCGAGGAAGCUCGAGACAUGGCCCUCCUCAACUCUGCCAGAUACCAGUAGAAACUUCGACGCUACCACGACAAGCACGUGCGCAAGAGGGACUUGAACGUGGGCGACCUCGUCCUACGACGGCGACAAAGCAAUCAAGGACGCCACAAGCUGACUCCACAUUGGGAGGGCCCAUACGUAGUGGCCGAGGUCUUGAAGCCGGGAACAUACAAGCUCGCGGACGAAAAGGGGGCGAUCUUCCGUCCAUGCCGUAGAUCGUCCUCUUGAUCUCAGACUCAGGGUCGACGGGGGUGCGCAUCAUGCUGGCGAGCGCUACCACGCCGUCCGCCCGCCCCAACUCUGCUGGGAUCGCGGCGGGCGCCCUUGGACGGAGCCACGCCGAGGUCGGAGGGCUGAAAACCGUCAGACCCUCGUCCUAGUUCCCGGGCUCUUGCGGCGCCGAUAGUACCAGUUGGGGUGGACUGUGAGGAGGAGGCUCGAGCGGUUCCUCCGACGGCUGGCCCCCCUGCUGCUGCUCCUCAAGCUCCCGCGGCUCUUGUUGGCGGUCCUGCUCCUGCAGUUGCCGCCGCGUCUCCUCUUCACGCUCCUCCUCCUCCUCUUUCUUCUUCUGCUCCUCGAUGGAGCGAAGCCCGGCAGGCCAGGGCGUCCGCCUCGCAACGAGAGAAGUCUGGGCCUCCUCGUCCGUAGGCCGGGCAUCCCUCGAAGUCCCGGCGCCGCCGGACCCGUCACUUAUGGUGAUAGGAUCCCCCUCGACCCCCGAUCGGGGAGGCUCGGGGGCUCCCUCUUGUCCUUGGGACCGAGGCGCCUCAGCCUGUUUUGGCGACGACGGGGCCGACUCACCCUCCAGGGGGCGGGGCGGGGCACCCUCGGCGCCAGUCGGUGGUUGAGGGUCGGAGGAGCCUAUAAAACGAAAAACAAAGGUCAGUCAUUAUGAUGGUCGACGCGGAUCCCCUAACAACAGGAAUAAGCUGCUAACCUGAAUCCUUGGAGUCCGCUCCCACAUUGAGCCUUUUGGCCAACGAGGGUUGGGCCUGCUCGAGCAUCCGCUUCAACCUGGACGGGCACGAAAGAAGAUGUUACACGUAGACAACACAAGGAGAUAAAAGAGGAUGAAAAUCACAGCGUCGAAAAACUUACCCCACAGGGAGCACGGCCCGCCUGCCGGUGCCUCGAGCGGCAGGCCUCGAGCCACCCCGCGUCGAGGCUCCAGGCCCCUUGCGGGCAGGCGCAGGCCUUGGUCCAGCAUCUUCCGCCUGGCGAGCGACAGGGCUGGCGCUCCUGCGACCAGUCUCUCCCUUUUCGGAGGCUGUGGCGUAGCCACGGGUCAAGGGCCCCGUCGCCUGGGGCUUAACCCGGCCACCCGCCUUUGGUGCAGGGGGAGGUUGGGGGUGCGGGGUGGCCUGACUUGGCGUAGGCGUAGGGGGGGAGUCAACGCGGGAGCGGUGAGAUCCGCCUGGCCCCUCCUUUGGCGCUCCAGUCUGCGGGGCAUCGACGUCGCCUCGAGGCGGACCCUCGAGGAUCCGAUCGAGACGAGACGCCAUCCCCUCGGAGUCGUCGCUGUCGUUGUCGCUGUCACCACUGUCGUCCUCAUUGGGAGACUCUUCCUUAGGCUUCCCCCUUUGCCUGGACUUCGCUCGACGCGCCUCUAACGCUUGGCGGUCGAGAUUCUUCUUCUUUUCUUCUUUCUUUUUUGAGUCCUUUGUGGACUUCUGCUUUUCAGCGGACUGACGCCGCUUGUCACAGUCGACGUCGUCCUCCUUUACUAGAGGCCUCGAGGACCGGACAUCGAUCUGUUCCUGCCAGAACAAAGGAAAGCUGAAAAAGGGAUCGAAAGAAAUCCAGGAUCAAAGCUGUGUACGAGAAAAGAGCGUACCAGGUCGAUCGAGCCCGCAUCAAGCCUCAUGGGGAAGCCAUUGACGUGCUCCGGCUUAAAGUCGCCGGCAAUGGCCGCCCUGACCCGAGCCGCAACCUCAUCGUCCGACGGAGCCUCGUUGGACAUCCGUCACGCCUCGAGGUCCCGGGACGAGACGCCAGGACCCAUCUCGUCCAUCCGUAGCGGCCGAGACAUCAACGGGAGAACUCUCCGAUGAUGGACGGCCGAGAGGACGAGAGCGGUGGACAGGCCCUCCAAGCGCAGCUUCUUCAGGGCGUCGUGGAGGGGGUCAAGCCGCGACUGGUGAACUUGGACGACGCCGUACGUCCAGUUCUCCGGGCGCUCCGUGAUCAGGCGCCCGGUGUAGGUAGGUAGAAGAUCGUCGUCGUUCCUCAGGUAGAACCACUGGGAGUCCCAUCCGGCGUGGUUCGUCGACAAUCCCACCUGGAUAUACUCGCGCGGCCUCUCCGUCUUCCCCGUCUUCAGCACGAGGUUAAGGCACCCCGCUCGUACGGGCUUCCUCACGCCAGUAGUCCCGGUGGGGGCGUUGAAGAGCUCGCCCCUGUAGAGGUGGAGCCACAGCUCCCAGUGGGGCAUCAUCCCCAAAUAGCCCUCACACACAGCGGCAAAGACCGCCGCGACGGUGAUGGCAUUUGGGGAGAAGUGCUGGAGCUCCACCCCGUAAUGGUGGCAGAGUGCCCGCAUGAAGCGGCUCGGAGGAGCGCCCAGGCCGUGGCGGUGGAACUUGGCGAACGGAACCACGUAGCCCUUGGGCGGCCUGGGCUCCCUAUGGUCCGCCAGCAGUGCGAACCACUACAGCGAUGACAGUGAUGUACGGUGGCGCAGGAGUCCCUCCCUCUCGAGCUCUAGCAGCCAGCACUCCGUCAUCGAUGAAGGGCGCCAGUCGUCGGCAGCGACAAGUCUCACACGCAUCUUGGGCGGAAAGGAGGACGGAUUCGCUACCGCACUAGCGAGCGCGCGCGCACGAGGUGGCAAGAGAGCCAUGUUGGCGAGAAGGCUAAGGCACGAAUGAAGGCAGAAGGCAGAACGAAGAACAGCGGCAAGGCCAUGGGACAUUUAUAGGCAGCAACCCGCCAACGAACAGAUCCGAUAAAUGAGGUAACUCCCCCCAUAAAUGCGCCGCCUAACGGUCUUUUUCCUCCUCACAGACGGGGCGCUCCGAAUUCUGCGCCAACACGGUGCCACAACGGCUCUUGCCUGAAAAGACGCGCCCAACGGGCAGAAAGGCGAACCGCCACGGCCUCUUCCUUCCCUUGUAAGCCAAGGUACGCACCCACAAAAGCCUCGAGAGGUCGCAGGCUGGCCCGCCGAAAGGGUUCGGCAGCCAAUCUCGAGCACCAGAGUCAGGGGUGCCCAGCGAGUGGUCGAUAAUCAAGGCCCGCCUCGAGAACUCACUGGGGAUAUCCAAGGUAGGGUCGAGACAGUGGAGAGGAAUCCCCCCGACGGGAGGCAUCGAGCCACUGGACUCUAUCGAAUGAUCCCAGCAUCCCCGACCACGUCGACCCCGCUUUAUGAGAACGCCUCCGGGCUACAGCUGACCCCCUCGAAAGGGGCACAGGUUCUCACUUGGACUUCGCGUUAGGAGCUCAAUCUAAGGUAGAUGACGCUCGCUCUAUCGAGAGUACGUCGAAACUCCUGCGCAAAACGAGCCAAUCAGAACCUCCCACCACUGGUGUCGGCAGCGUUUCUGUGAAUUAGGCAAUAUAAAUCUCGAAGGAUUCAAAAACUCCUCCAAGGGCUCGGGGGCUACCCCCGCAGGGUCGCUCGCGCGCCCCCAUGGAAACUCGACCGCAGAAUAAAGCCUCUACUCGAGCGCCAGCACUCGAAUGGAGGCUCGGGGGCUACUGUCAAGGAUCUCAGUAAGGGGUAUCCCAACUGAUGUACAUAACGAGACUGCCCAUACACAGGUCGAGGCCCCCAACUCGACGCUCUAAUCAGUCACACGCACAGUCAUCGACGACCGCAGCUUCGAAGAUGGAAAAGGCGUCGAGCGAAUCGGUCAUGGCUCGAGCGCCAGCUACCGUCGAAUACGGAAACAGGCUCGAGCGAACCAGGAGGCGUCGAGCGCAAGGACACCGCCCGCCGCGUGACGCGCGCACGGGAACCAGGGCAUUUAAUGCGCCUAUCGCGUUCUCACCUAACACGCCAGUCACGGGAAGCGUGAUAAGGAACAGGCACCUGUCCCGUCAUUCUUUUUGCAGCCUUCCCCACCAAACAACCCAAAGAGUGUCAGGAUGCGGGAAGCAGGGAUGGAACGUCUAAUCAGGACCCCCUCGAGACAUCCAGGGUCAACGCUCUGGAUAGCAGGGCGUUACAUGGCGUCUGACCCUCGACCAGACAUGUUUCCUUCCUGGGGAAGGGUUGGACGUCAAAUGGCAACACAGCAACCACUCCGACGGAUCUGCCGCGAUGCCGUACAGGUGUGCAACUGGUGAACCAGUCCAAGACGGCACACAGAGUAGGAUAUCAGGGCAUGUGUAAUCAUCAUCAAGCUACCAGGACGGGACGGCUCGAGACCACGCCGGUACGGAGGCCUCAAGUAGGUCCGCGCGCCAUGCCUCUAUCGACCCCUACUCUGACAAAUAUGCUUGUACCCUGGGCUUCUCCUUGGAACUAUAAAAGGGGAAGCCCGAGAGCGAAUGCAGGGGGCAAUCACGCCACACUACACCCAUACGCAGUAGAACUUCCACCUUACUCCAUACCACACUUGUAUUCACCCCUGUACAAGCACUUAGGUGCAAAAUAAUACAAACGCUCCCCCCCACUGGACGUAGGGCCUUCUCUUGCCCGAACCAGGAUAAAUCUUUGUGUCUUUUUGCAUCACCAUCUGGAAAAGGGAAGCACGCACACAAAUUUACUCGUUGGUGUGACCCCCCGUGGGGAAAACACUGACACAUCUGGAAAAGAGAGCACGCAUUAGUUUUACUCGUUGGUGUGACCCCUCGGGGGGAAACCACCGACAGAGACCAUCUCGAGUGGUCAAGACGAGCUUAGGUGAUACGCCCCAGGUAGCAGUGGAAUGGGCGUCCUGAGAUGCUCAUCGGACUUCUAGAGUGGGAGGAUCCCCGGCAUCACUGUCAGAGGUCCUUAGGACAAUGACAGGUGUCGGUGGGCCCAAACACUUAGGAGGUUCUGCCACAUUUAUUUGAUGGAAAAUUACAUAUUCCUACAAAACAAGUGAGGACACCAAAACUCGUGGAACUCGUUAGAAUCAAACCCUACAACUAUGCUUUAUGGAUGAUAUCAUGUUAUAUUGAGCAAUAGUUGAUGGUAUAAAAUAGGCAUUAAGGACCGCCAACAAAGGGUAGAUAUAUUUUGGAAAGUGUUGUAGCUGCUCAUGAGGCUUAUUGAACUAUUCUGACUCAGGACUCACCCAUUUUACCUUUCACCAUGGGGCUUAUAGCUAUCACUUUGGUCUUCGAUAGUUGAAAGAUAGAACAGUUUAGUCGAGCACUAUGCUACUCGCUCUUUGAUCAACUAUUAUUCUAGAGUUUUGCAAUAUUUUCAAAUAAAACUUAGAGUUUCCUAACACAUAAACAAUAAAGAUGCAACUACCAAUGCAGUUACGAAAAAUAAAUAUACUUAAAGGAAAAUGCAGAAAAAUACCAAGUUACCUCUUGGCGUGGCGUUCGGUGAUUUUAAGUCCUCCGAACAGGACCUCUUACCAUGUUAAUUCUUAGGUGCUUUUUCUGGUCCCAAAGGUGGAGACCAUGAGAGUUGCACCUCUUGAGAUGGUGUCACCUAUGUUUAUUGCUUCUCCAAUGGGUUGAAGUUAAGCACUAGUUCUAGGAGCUAGCAACAUCUUCGCUCAGUGUGCAUGUUCAUAGGUCUAGUAUCUUCGCUCGGGGUAGAUAUUGAACUAUUCUGACUCACGACUCACCCAUUUUACCUUUCACCAUAGGGCUUAUAGCUAUCACUUUGGUCUUGGGUAGUUGAAAGAUAGAACAGUUUAGUCGAGCACUAUGCUACCCGCUCUUUGAUCAACUAUUAUUCUAGAGUUUUGCAAGAUUUUCAAAUAAAACUUAGAGUUUCCUUGUAUGACACUUUCCAGUCUCUCAUAUGUGGUAUUCUUUUAUCCUCUCCAAGGCAAGUGAGUAUGCCUUCUCUCUGCUCUCAGAAUAUGUGGUAUUUGUAUCACUAAGACAUAGUUGCCUUCUCUCUCUCACCCUGCUUCUAAUUGGCUUAUGUGGAGCUCGUAGGUCGGAAAGACAAUUCAAACCUACUUGCAUGUAUUGCAUAAUUAAACCAUGGAUCUAGAGAAACUAAUUAUACAAUCAAGUCACAUGUGCAUGUGAGUGUAGUGAAUGAUAAGAAUGAAAGUAGUAAUGAGGGGUGAUAACUGAUGGCGAAUAUCUUAUUCUACAAUUGCACCUUGGGGAUAACAUACUUCCUUAAUCUGAGAACAAGGAUUUGGUUCUCUUUCUUUUCUUUUGCAUUGGGACUUUUGUCCUCUUUCUUUCUUUUUCUUUUUUUCUCUUUUUUCCUCUUUUUUGAAAGAUCAGCCAUCCCUUUUAAUUCAAUGAUAAUAGUAGGGAGUAUCAAAUGGGAUAACUAGGGCUUUAUUGGAUAAGUAGAAUAAGACAUUGAAUAUUUUUGGGUGUCUUCUCCCAGUGUAGGAGUAGAACAUUUUCUAUGUGAAUGUGGAUUGUGUGUGGGUGAAUGAAGGAAUGCGUACUCCUAGGGUAGGAGCAGCGUAGGUGUGUCUCCAAGAUAGAAACAACAUAGAGUGUAGUGCGUAUAUGUGGGUGGUACUUCUAGGAACAGAAGUAGCACAUAGUGAAUGUGGUGGAUGAAAGUGGUUGCAUACUUCUGAGGACAGAAGUAGCUAAGACCAAUAGAUGAAGAGCACAUAAUAAUGACUUCAACCGCAUGACUAAUCCCAUAGGGUCUACACAGCUUAACUACUCUCAAUGCUUAUAGGUUGAAAUAUAAGUGGAGGUUUUCCUAAUCUAGAAAGCAUGAGUAAUUUGCUAUGGUGGGAAUUUUAGAACUCUUGUCAUAAAGGAACUCAUAAUGUAGCAAUUUAAGAUUUUCAAAAUAAAAUUCUCUAGAAUUCUAGCAUCUCUAGGAGCAAGAUUGAUAGCAGCUCAGAACCUUCACAUAUCAUAUCCGUCAACUAUCUAGACUUAGAACAAUCAUUUGCUACCCACAGGUUUUAGGCUUAUAGAAAAUCUUAAGUCUAAACAGUUAAGCCUAAAACUCAAGAGAGUACAAGAUUGAAAACAAGGUACUUGUAAGGAAUUACGGCAGAGCAACUAUUCAUCAUCUCCAUAUAAGAGUUAAUUCUAGAGGUUCAUCUUAACAGAUUCAUAAAGAGAUCUCCUAGCAAGAUUAAUUAUGAAAGAUAAAACAUUUACUGGGUUUCUAAGUUUAUUCAUCUUUUUAUCUUGUCAUAAUGCACUAGGAAUAAAUAGAUAAGUGAGUAAGGGAUACUUAGCUCGGUGUACGGGGGUUGCUCUCCCCAAGCUGGAUGUGAUAUUGCAGACGGGCAGUGAAGACAUACUCGUCCUCCUAGAGUAUCGUAGGUACUUGCUAUCAGAAACAACACUUGCCUCAUGCGAACAGUACUCCGACAGGGCACAAGACGUCCUUCUGCCUGUUAGUUCUUUUUGAUCCUUUGAAGCCUAUGAAGCACAAAUAGACAACAAAACUUGUGGAACUAAUUAAGCGUUAGUAAUAAACCUCUAAGCUUUGGGAGUCUAGAACUUUCUUAUACCCAUUUAUAUUUUAGGAAGAUCAAUAUAUUUUAUUUAUUUAUUAUAGUAUUUAUAUUUAUAGUAUGCAGGUAGGAAAAUAAAUAUGCUAAAACUUAUUUUUGUGCCACCACAGUAGAUAAGUACGUAAGCUGUUGCAUCUCAUAUUAAAUACAUGGGGCUUAGUAGCUUUCGAAAUGCAAUGCAAUACAUAUUUAUUUUUUCUUUUCUAACACAAAAACAAUAAAGAUGCAACUACUAAUGCAGUUACGAAAAGUAAAUAUACUUAAAGGAAAAUGCAGAAAAAUACCAAGUUACCUCUUGGCGUGGCGUUCGGUGAUUUUAAGUGCUCUGAAUAGGACCUCUUACCAUGUUAAUUCUUAGGUGCUUUAUCUGGUCCCAAAGGUGGAGACCAUGAUAGUUGCACCUCUUGAGAUGGUGUCACCUAUGUUUAUUGCUUCUCCAAUGGGUUGAAGUCAAGCACUAGUUCUAGGAGCUAGCAACAUCUUCGCUUAGUGUGCAUGUUGAUAGGUCUAGGACCUUCACUUGUAGGAUUCUCGAGGAGUUGACUAAAGUGUGUCCUGCUCAUAGAGACAAGAGAGAGAUCAAGUGCAUGGGCUCUGUUGAUGAGAAAACACCAACAUAACCAAUAGGUUUAUUCAUUAAACUCUAGCCUUUGGCACAUUGAACGAGAUAAAGUUGAUGUUUAUGUGUUUUGCUCAAUCUAAACAUGGAUGAUAGGAACAAAUGAUUAGCAAGCUUGUAGCAUUAAAACACUUGGCCGAUCAGAUUAUUCAAUAUUAUGGAAGGAUGGUCUACCUAUGCAUUUAAAUUCAUAAUUAUGACUAUCCUCUUCCAGAGAUAGGAUGUGCAAUAUUUUAGAUCAUUGAAUUAAAAACUACAAGUUCAAGAAAGUGAUUCUUAGGAACAAGCAUAAAGAACUAAACAUGAUGAGCUAAUUAGAUUGGAUCAAAUGAGAUUGUAACUCAAAGCAUGUUUAACUCACUACUUAUGUGAAUGCCAAAAUCAAGAAGGAUAUUUUGGAAGAAAUGAUCACUUGAGAUGUUACAUUUAGUAUUGAAGCAUGUUGAAGCCGUAACAUCUUGUGGAAACUUUCCUUGCUUGGCUAUCUUCUCUCCUUUGUUGUACUCCUUUCUUGCCUGUUGACACCGUUUUUGGACACAAAUCGAAAUAAUCAAUGAGGCUUGAAUCGGCAGUCAGAGAGGUGAUGUGUUCGGCUGAUAAGAAGAUUGCCGAUAGCCGAUGAUGCCGAUGAUAGAACAAUAGGAGAGAAAUGUUGCAAAGUCUAGUGGUAGUUGCCGAUCAUUGCUGAUUACUAAUGAUUACCGAUACCGAUGAGGAAAGGUGUGGGAAUUGUUAAAAGAGAUAUAGGGCGUGUGCCGAUGAAAACGAUGGUGGUAUGCCGAUCACUAGGACGGAUUGGUAGUUAUUUCCAUAUUUGUUAGGGUCUAUUUUAUGUACGAGUUCUGUUUGAUUUGGAAUUAAAUCCUAGUCGUAUACGGUUGUAAGAGGACAAUCAAUCAAUAUCAUACACAAGUUUUACAUCUACUAUUACAUCUACUUUUUCGACGACUUCGUCAACUUGCACGUUUUCUUUUCUUUACAAGUUUUUAAGGAUUCAUCGAGCAAUACUCAGUGAAUUCUCAAGUUCUGCAUGAGUACCUCUUGGCCAUGGCAUCCGGGCGCAUCGCUGUUGUCGGGACAAAAGUAUUCAAGUUAUCACCUUUGUCGAUUACUAGGACAAAUCGGUUGGCACGCCUCCACGUUUUUGCAUCAACACAUCUUUUGGCAUGCCCAGUGGGACAAAUCUAUCAACAAAAUCAACAUGGCUACUGCUGAUCUCUACACGGAGAAUGUCAUUGCUGUCACAGAAGCUGAUCUCAUGGACGAGCAGAAGUAGGCUAUGCCAAGGGAUAUGGAGGAGUACAAGCAGCUCUACUUAAAAUCCUUCAUUGUCAACAGGAGAGGUGAAGUAAUCCAGAAGCAAGAGCUGCCGAGGCAUUGGCAGGUUACUUUCGACGCCAAUCCUAGUAAAUUGCAAGACGUGGUUGACAGUGCUAUUAAUCGUGCUUUGAUCAAUCAAUCCAGUGUGCUGUCCAAUACUGUUUACAAUGUUGUGGCUAGAGCUUUUAAAGAAGGACAGACACCACCACUAUAUGUUGCCCCGGCCUAUCAUCAGCCAGGGUUGUCAUCGGUUACGGCUCCAUCAACUCCUCCGGCCGUUGCGGGUACAGAAGCUACUUAUCCUCUAAGCACAUUAGGGCUAACUAAUGGGCAGUCUACACCGAUGAGACCUAAUCCAAUGACAUUAGAGGGAUGGGUUCAGCUUAACAUAGAUCUGUCGGCAUCGGCAAUGUUAGGAUCUGUAUUUUAGAAUUGUCAAGUUCCUCCCAAUUGAUGGAGAUAUGGUAUGCCUCCGGAGUUUUUUGCAAAUAGUUUUGGAACUUCUCAGGUGACUGAUUUAGCAGGAAAAGCUCCUAUGACAUCGGCACCUCCAGUUUUGCCGAUGCGUCAAAUUCCUCAGUAUUCUACAGUUACUACUGCAAGGCCUGUUACUGGGAAUUUUCAAAUGCCAAUGUUCCAGAUGCCUAAUACAAAUUCAUUAGUAGCUCUAUUGCCGAUGCAACAUAGGUUCAUGACUCAGACAGGGUAUGUCAACCUAAUAGUGUCAGCUAAUUAUCAGCCAUCGGCAAGACCUGUGCCGAUGAAUGCUAACAAUGGAUGGACAGGGUAGUUUGUCUUUCCACAUGUGACACAGUAGAAUCAUCAAGUUGUGGGAUUCCAGCAAGGUUAGAUGCAAGUCGGUUUUCAGAAUCAAGGACCAGCCAAUCAGCUGAUGAAUCUUGCUCAGCAGAUUGGUGGCUAGCAAGCUAUGGCCAACGUUAUGUUUCCUGGAGAACGUGCACCUCACAGACACAUGGAAGCUUAUCAGCAGGUGCUAGAAGUUCAACCCGCACAUCAGCAGGAUGCUGAUGCCUAUUGGGCCGAUUAGAUAGCAUAAGUUAUGAGGGAUCAGUUUGGAAUAAAACCAAAGGUCAACAAUUAUUCUUAUCGAGCACCAUAUCCUCUUGCAUAUGAUUUGAUUCCACUUCCAAAUCGGUACAAGGUGCCAGAUUUUACUAAAUUCCCUAGACAAGAUGAUACGUCAACUAUGGAACAUGUUAAUCGGUUCAUCAUCCAGUGUGGAGAAGCUGCCAACAGAGAUGAAUUAAGAGUUCUUUUGUUUUCAUCAUCUUUGUCAGGAUCGGCAUUCACUUGGUUUAUUUCACUACCUCCGAACUCAGUUGUCACAUGGGCUGAUCUAGAGAAGCAGUUCACAAAUAGUUCUUUUCUGGGGUUCAUGAGAAAAAGAUUACCGAUUUAGUCAGGUUGAGGCAACAUAAUGACGAAUUGGUGGAGAGUUUUGUGCAGAGGCUGAGAGAUGUGAAGAACAAGUGUUAUAGCCUGGUUCUAGAUGAUCGGCAGUUGGCCGAUCUGGCUUUCCAAGGGUUGCUGCGACAUAUCAAAGAUAAAUAUGCUUCUCAAGAGUUUGAGAGUUUGAGUCAUUUGGUGCAGAGAAUUUCUGAUCAGGAUAUCAAGGCUUAUGAGCCUAGAAAAGCCUGGAAUAAAAAGUGUCAUUUGUUGACGAGGCAAUGAGUUCUGAUUCAGAUGAAGAACCUGUCAUCGGCUUAGAAGAGUGGGUAAAAAAUAAAAAGUCAAUGUCCUGUCCUUUUGGUCAAAAGGAACCAGAGAAGUUUGCUUUUGAUAUCACCAAGGCCUAUAGGAUAUUUGAUUUCUUGCUUCAACUGGGGCAGAUUAAAUUGUCACCUAAUCGUGUGAUCCCAUCAGUAGAGGAGUUGAAGAAAAUCAAGUAUUGCAAAUGGCAUAAUGCAACGUCACAUAGCACAAAAGAGUGCAAGGUGUUUAGGCAACAAUUCCAAUUGUCUAUAGAAUCUGGGAGGAUUAAGUUUGAUAAUUCCAAAUAUCAGAAGACGAUGAAAAUUGAUCAACACCCUUUCCCUGCAAACAUGUUGGACGCCAAAGGUAAGACUAAGGUCUUAACAUCGGAAACAGCUGAAAAGAACGCAUCAGUGCAUCCUCAGCAUCAAGUAACCACCAAUGUGCCAAAGGCAAAGGUUUGAUCAAGGAGGGUAGCAGCUCUGGGCGGCCUCCUUGCUCUGGCAUUGUGAUUAAUCAUAGGUGAUAUCGGGAGACCUGGCAGCAACGUGAGGAUCAGUAUCGACGUCAGCGAGAGGAAAGGGAGCGAGAAGAAUGGAAUCGGCAUAAAGAUCACUGGAAUUGCCCGUUCCUUGUUCAUUGUUGGGAGCAAAAUAUCAAAUUACUGACUGUUAGAGAUUGUCCUGAGUGCAAUGGUUAUCAUCGGUAUGAUCGGUCAGAUCGACGAUUCUAGAAUAAUGAUCGACGCUUUAAUGAGCCAAUCAGGGGGAGGGUAUCAGUUCAUGAUAGGCUGGGGGGCAGGCUUAGUGUGCAUGACAGGCUUGGUGAACGUGUUGGUCAUUUUCCAGGGAACCAAGAGGAACUUGAAGAAAUGGCAAAUGCACGGGUUCCCGAUGAAUUUAUAUUUUACAGAGAUGCUAAUACUCAUCGGGUAGAGUCAAGGGAAGUUCGCUUUCAGCCAAUGUAGAAAAAAAGCUUCCCUAAUGGUGUCCAGAAGGGUUAACAAGGACGCAAAAGAGAAGGAUGCAGCGAGAACGUCAAGAAGAUUUAGGUAGGGAAGAAAAUUCUUCUAAGUCUAGGAAUCGGCAGCAAUCGGGCCGCAAGGGGAAAGGACCAUUGGCAGACGUUAACAUGGUAUUUAUGUUGCCGAUGGAAUUUCUUGCACCCUUUAGUGAUAAUGAAGAAAUAAGUCUCCCUGAUCAAAUAGCUCAGUUGGCACUUGAUCCAAUGACGGCUAUUUUUGAGAAACCUUCUCAUGAUGAAAGGCAGCAUCUUAAAGCUUUGUUUGUCAAAGGCCGGGUUGAUGGGCAGCCGAUUUCCAAAACACUUAUUGAUCGGGGAGCUGCAAUUAACAUUAUGCCAUAUACAGUGUAUCGGAAGCUUGGCAAAGGAGAUGAGGAUUUGACCUAAACCGAUAUGAUGUUAAAAUAUUUUGAAGGAAAUGUGUCUCUAGUUAAGGGAGCUAUAUGUGUUGUGUUGACCAUCGGUAGCAAAACCUUGCCGACGACCUUCUUUGUUAUCAGUCGAAAAGGUGCAUAUAAUUUACUUCUGGGAGAGAUUGGAUUCAUGUCAAUUGCUGCAUUCCUCCUACAAUGCAUCAAUGCCUUGUUCAUUGGGUAGGUGACAAAAUUGAGAUUGUCUCAGGAGAUUCUUCAUAUAUCAUUGCAUCAGCGGAAUCAGAUACCUAUGAGCGGACCAGAUGCAUAUUAGGAGAGGAUUGGGAGAAAGAUUUUCUCAAGGUCGCCGAUUAUGAAGUUCCACCGAUCCAAGCAGUCGGUUCUGAUGAAGAGUUUUAAUGGAUAGGUUCACGGAUGAUGGAAAGUUAGGACAGGGGUUUACAUCGACUAAUGAUUUAAUAGUAGUAGAUAUAGGAAGUGGUGAUAGCCCAAGGCCUACCUUUAUUAGUGCUAAGUUAGAUUCUGAAUGUAAGCAGCAAUUAACUGAUUUGUUAAAAGAAUAUAAAGGUUGCUUUGCUUGGGAUUAUACCGAGACGCCUGGUUUAGACUGAUCAAUUGUCGAACGUCGGUUGCCUAUUAAGUCUGGAUUUCGGCCGUAUGAGCAACCAGCACGCCGAUGUAAUCCUAAUAUUCUUCCUGAUAUUAAGGACGAAAUAACCAAACUUAUUGAAGCUAAGUUUCUUCAGCAAUGUCGGUAUGCCGAAUGGAUUUCUAAUGUUGUUCCUAUCUACAAAAAGAAUGGAAAACUUUGUGUUUGCAUCGACUUUAGAAAUCUCGAUAAAGCUACGCUGAUAGAUGGUUAUCCAAUACCAAUUGUGGAUUUGUUGGUUGAUGCUGUAGCUGGACAUCAAAUUAUUAGUUUCAUGGAUGGUAAUUCAUGGCUGAAGAGGAUAUUUCCAAGACUACAUUUAGAUGUCAUGGUCAUGUUGGAUUUUUUGAAUGAUAGUCAUGAUUUUUGGCUUGAAAAAUGCUGGUGCUACUUCAGAGGGCCAUGAAUUUUAUUUUCCAUGAGUUCAUCGGCAAGUUGGUAGAAAUCUAUAUUGAUGAUGUGGUGGUUAAUUCUGGAGAUUUCAUAAAACAUCUAGCUGAUUUGCAAAAAGUGUUGGAAUGCACAAGGAAACAUUGUUUGAAGAUGAACCCUAAUAAAUGUGCAUUUGGUGUAUCGGCAGGUCAGUUUCUAGGUUUCAUGGUGCAUCAGAGAGGGAUUGAAAUUAGUAGGAGGUCCAUUGAUGCGAUCGGCAAUGUAGUUGCUCCUACCAAUAAAACUAAACUUCAAUCAUUGAUCGGCAAGAUUAAUUUUAUCAGACGAUUUAUAUCUAAUUUGUCGGGUAAGAUUCGUGCUUUCAGCCCUUUGCUUAAACUAAAAGCCCAUCAAGAGUUUGUGUGGGGUAAAGAGCAACAAUUAGCCUUGAAUGAAGUCAAGAAUUAUUUGGCAAAUCCUCCAGCCUUGGUUCCACCUCAGCAUGGAAAGCCCUUCAGAUUAUAUUUAUCUACCAAUGAUGCGAUCAUCGGCUCAGCUCUCAUUCAAGAAUUUGAAGGGAAAGAGCAUGUAAUUUACUAUCUGAGUAAAAGAUUGGUGGAUGCUGAGACAAGGUAUUCGGCAAUUGAGAAGUUAUGCUUAUGCUUAUACUUUUCUUGUGUCAAAUUGAGACAUUACUUGCUAUCGGUCGAAUGCACAGUCGUAUGCAAAGAUGACGUAGUCAGAUACAUGUUCUCAAUGCCGAUUAUGAGUGGUAGAAUCAGCAAAUGGAUACUAGCAUUAUCGGAGUUUGACUUACGUUGUGAAUCGGCUAAGGCAGUUAAAGUGCAGAUCAUGGCCGAUUUUGUAACUCAGCAUUGUGGUGUAGUGGAUGCUCUGGAAAUUGUUCCUUAGACACUCUUCUUUGAUGGAUCUACAUGUGAUCGGGGAGUGGGUAUUGGUAUAGUAUUGAUUUCUCCUCGAGGAAAGAAAUAUGAGUUUUCUUUACCGAUUGUUGUUACAUCGACAAACAAUCAAGCUGAGUACCAAGCUCUAAUCAAAGGGUUAGAAUUAUUAAAGGAAGUUAAUGUCGAUGCUGUCGAAAUCUUCGGUGAUUCUAUGCUUGUUAUAAAUCAGUUGGCUAGAACUUAUGAAUGCCGAAGUGAAGUUUUGAUAGCUCAUUAAGAAAGGUGUGUACAAUUAUUGAAAGGAUUCAGGGAUUUCCGAUUAGAGCAUAUUUCUCGAUUGCAUAAUGAAGAAGCUAACUGAUUGGCUCAACAUGCCUUGGGGUAUCAACCCAUCUUGGAAAUAUUAUCGGCAGUCAGUGCCGAUGAUUCGAGAAAAGAAAUUAUUGAUUAUUUAAAAGAUCCAUCUAGAAAAGUUGAGCGGCAUGUUAGGUUUCAAGCUACCAAGUAUGUACUCCUUGAAGAAGAAUUAUAUUAUCAUACAAUAGAUGGAGUUUUGCUUAAAUGCUUAGGUGAUGAUGAAUCCAAAAGCUUGAUGGGUGAAAUUCAUGAGGGAGUAUGUGGAGCACAUCAAUCAGCUUUUAAGAUGAAGUGGAUGAUUAGAAGGAACGGAUAUUAUUGGCCGACUAUACUUGAGGAUUGUUUCAAGUAAUUCAAAGGGUGUCAAGGAUGUCAGAAGUUUGGCAAUAUUCAAAGGGCACCGCAUCGGCUAUGAAUCCUAUUAUUAAACCUUGGCUGUUCCGGGGUUGGGCUAUUGAUCUCAUCGGUCAAAUUUAUCCGCCAUCGAGUAAAGGGCAUAAGUUUAUCCUUGUUGCCGCUGAUUAUUUCACUAAAUGGGUUGAGGCUAUUCCUUUGAAGAAAGUGACAUCGGCCAACAUGAUUGAUUUUGUGAAGGAGCACAUUAUUUACCGAUUUGGCAUUCCCCAAACAAUCACUACCGAUCUGGGUACUGUAUUUACGUCAGGGGAGUUUGAUGAGUUUGCCAUCGGUAUAGGGAUUAAAGUGUUGAAUUCUUCUCCUUACUAUGCUCAAGCCAAUGGAUAGGCCGAGGCUUCUAACAAAGGAAUUAUUACACUCAUUAAGCGAAAGAUUGAGGAGAAUCCCAGACGAUGGCAUACUCUGUUAAAUGAAGCCUUGUGGUCAUAUCAAAUGGCAUGUCAUGGUUCGACGAAAAUGUCACCUUAUCAACUGGUGUAUGGACAUGAUGUAGUACUACCUUAGGAAAUUAAAACUAGUUCUAGGCGAAUGUUUUCUCAGGAUCAGUUAACUGCUGUUGACUAUGCUACUUUGAUGAAAGAUGAGUUGGAUGCUUUAGCAGGCAUCGGAUAAGAGCUCUAAUUAGCGUAGAGGAGAAUAAAAAAAGAGUGGCUAAAUGGUAUGACAAAAAGGUAAAGGCCAAGGAGUUUGCCGAUGGGGAUUUGGUGUGGAAGCUAAUUCUACCGAUUGGGACUAAAAGCUUAAAAUUUGGAAAAUGGUCUCCUAAUUGAUAGGGUCCUUAUCGGAUAAAUCGAUCUACCCAUGGCAAUGCUUAUAUUUUAGAAACUCUCGAAGGAAUUGAAUUUCCCUGAGAAUUGAAUGGAAAAUAUUUAAAGAGAUACUACCCUAGUAUCUGGACUGAUGCAUAAAAGUUUAAGUGCCGAUAACAAUCCUAUUGGCAGGACAAAAUAUCAAGUGUAUCUGGGGCCAUACAUAAAGAGUUUAAGUGCCGAUAAUAGUCCUAUCGGCUGGACCAAAAGAUUAAAAUUUUUUGAGAAAGAAGUUAAACAGGCCGCCGAUGAAGAGUUUAUAGGUUCAGCAUGGUUUGGAUGGCCGAUAUUGCACGCAGAUGAGUCUGGUUGGCCUCCUCUAUCUCUUGGGUGUCUUCAUCGGCAAAACCUUCCACUGGCUUCAGCUUCUUCUUCAUGUGCAGCGCAUUGCGAGCGUGGACAUCUCUUUCUUGCUGAAGAUUCUUGAGCGCAUCGGGCAGUUGGCUUUUGUUGACAGUCCUUAACUAUCAAAUUUAAUUAUCGAAUAAACAAAGAAAAGGAUCCAAAUGAAAUCAACAUCCAGACUUAGGGUUUUAUCUAACAGAAUUCCACGAGUUUUGGUGUUUGUCUAUUUCUGCAGGGGGUUAUCAGGAAAUACGGAAGAAAGGCUCACACGUCGGGAUUACAUAGAGAUAUUAACAUACCGCGCAAUUAUCUUACAUCUAGAAGAUUUUAGAAGCCACGGGAAUGAAGCGAAGGCAGAACGGAGCCUGGCCUAGGGCGCCCGCAAUAGGGACCAGAGCGCCCGCCCACCUUUGGAGUCCGAUCAGGACUCUCUUUCGGGAUCACGCUCCACCGUCCUAAAGGAUCAAGGAUAACCGUUCAAUCAAUGUCGGUUUGAUCUGAUGACCCAUAUUCACUUGGAAGGACUAUAAAACCAGACCCCCUAGCCCCUGGAGGAGGGAGCCUCUCAACCCUAAUUCAUUAUUCAUCAAGGGAGAAGAAGCCUCUGAUCCAGCCUAGAGCCACCACAUCAAUUAGACAUCUAGAUCAGCAUAGCUACGUAGGAUUAGAACUAGAAGGAGUCAAUCUUCGGUUGAUUUUCGGAUCUGUCAAGAGGAUUCUUAGUAAUUCUCUAUUGUUCUUCAAUUGUUCAUCUUUGUUCUUCGAUAUUAUGAAUAUGACUUUGUUCUACUUCAAUAUAUUGAUUAUGACUUUGCUCUACUUGUUUAUAUUCGCAAUUAUAUUGUUCUUAGUUUAUCAUAGUUAUAUACUUAGCUUAGUUAGAUUGGAUCUAUAUACAUGUUUAGGAUCGUUUAACGUUUAUCUAUCGGAUCCAUGGCUAAAUGAUAGAUAUUGUGUAGGCGUGGUGCUUAUAACGUAUUUAUCUGUGAUUGUACCCUAUAUACCAGAUCGCGGGGUAGUUCGUGGUAGUGACAGCUCCAUUGAUUCUUAUAUAGUCCCCCUCUCGUGUAUUGGGCUAGCAGAGCAACAUUAUUACAGGGGAGUGAUUACGAUGUUUCUCAUAUUCCUUGCUAAUAUCACUAUGCAUGGGCGUAGUCCUGUCUCACAAUGAUUGCUAAGUAUAAUUGCACUAACUAUGAUAUGCUAGACUGUAUAGUUAAGAAUAACUUAGGAAAUAUUCUUGUAGUUCGUUCUAAUUCCAUGCUAAUGACUUGCUAGAAUAUCUAAUUGAGGUGCUUAUCAUAUUUAUAUGUGGCUAAGUUAUGCUGAUCAGAUUAAUUAUCUUUGUCACUAUUCAUUACUUUAUAUCCUUUAUGUGACACUUAUCCCUAUGUGAAAGAGUUAGCUAAAUGUUCUCAAUUAUACAUGCAAUGAUAGAUACUCAAUCUUAUAUUCCAUUCUAUAAUCAACAUUGAUGGUUACUAAUCCCUUCCCAGUGGUAAAAAUAUAAAUAACGAUACCUGGAAUAUCUCCCGGUUAAAAUGCUACAUCAGUAUUAAUCUGUGCGCUUGCAGAUCCCAUUCAUUAUUUAUUUAGAUGAGCAAUUGCAUAUUUCAAUACCACGUCUCUCAUGUUAUGCUCGGGAUGACAACUUGGCUUAAGUGGUAUGAGGGAUAGGUUUGGCAUUUUUGGCACCGUUAUCAGAAUUAUAAAACUAAGUCUACUUUUCGUAAUGACGUUAAGAAUACCCAACAAGCAUUUUUGGCGCCAUUGCCGGAGAAGGUUGAUUACUAAUCAGGAAUGAAUAUGGAUUUUGAGUUAUCAUUCGCAUCACUAAUAUGAUUGAGCUUAUCAAUUCUUUCAUACAGUUUUACCCCGAUAUUUUUCUAUUUUAUCUUAUGCAGGGUAAUGUAUGAAUAAAAGACAUCUUCCAGGAAAUUUUGUUGACAAUCCCGAAGCAUUAUUCAGAACAACAAGAGCCAAGCUCAAGAAGAGAUCAUCAACACUUCAGCAAAAAGCUUCAUCCAAUCAAGAAGAUCACCAGCCAUGGCGAACAAAUCGAUCCGUGAGUUCUCAGCUCCCACUACAGACAACAUCCGUACUGGACCUGCUGCAGAGAUCGAUGGCAACUUUGAGCUCAAGCCUGGACUUAUCGACAUGGUGCAAUCCAACCAGUUCUGUGGGAAGGCACACGAAGAUGCUAGUGCUCAUCUCCAACACUUCCUGGAGAUUUGCAACACAUUCACUAUAUCAGGAGUCCCCAGAGAUGCUAUACUACUUCGCCUUUUCCCAUUCUCACUGUUAGGAAUAGCGAAGCAAUGGUUCUACGCUACAAAUGAGAAGAAUACUACGUGGGCACUCUGCUCCACGAAGUUUCUGGCUAGGUUCUUUCCCAUGGGCAAGACCAAUGCUCUCCGUGGGAAGAUUACAAGUUUUCAGCAACAACAUGAUGAAUUUGUUCCAGAAGCAUGGGAGCGCUUCCAAGACUACAUCCUAGAAUGUCCCCAUCAUGGAAUGGAGAGUUGGCUACUAAUGCAGACGUUUUAUCAUGGGCUCGGCAACAGUGCCCGAGCGACCAUGGAUGUUGCAGCCGGAGGAGCAUUCCUAUCACUUACCAUAUCACAAGCCACAGCUCUUGUGGAGAAGAUGGCGUCCAACCAACGCUGGAAUGAAGAGAGGACCCAGACACGCAAGAGAGGUGGAGGUAUGCAUCACCUCAAGGAGGUAGACAUGCUGUCUGCAAAGCUACACCUGCUCAUGAAGAAGCUCGAUGAUAGAGCUAGAGAUAAGAAAGAAGUUAUGCACAUCUACGACUCUCACAUGACUUUUGAGGAGUGUGGAGAUACUGGACACUUAGGCAAUCACUGCCCUGAGAUGCUUGAGGAUGUGAACUACAUCAACAAUAACAACAACUACUACUACAACCGUCCUCAACAAAAUCAAGGUUGGAAUCAACAGAGGCCUAACUACUCAGGUAAUUAUCAAGGUAAUAACUCUUACAAUAAUACUAAUAAUUUCCCACCUAUUAGAGAGUUAGUGUCUAAUCAAGGAAAGCUAAUGGAUAACCUAUCUAAGAAAUUGGCAUCUAAUGAUAAAAUGCUAGAAAAUAUAAACAAUAGAAUGGAUAAUUUCUCUACUGCCAUCAAGAAUCAAAUUAGCUUUAAUAAAAUGAUUGAAUCUCAGUUAAAUCAAAUAGCUGCUGUUGUUCCUGCUACUAACCCCAGUAUACCAUCACAACCGGAAGGAUUAGAAUCUGCAAAUCUUGUAGACAUGUUUGAUGCAGGUAACUACUGGAGUAACCCCGUCACUGAAGUUACUACUGACCUUCUGCCGAUCAAGAGAGGCGAUCCAGGACGCCCCGUCAUCCCGAUCUCCAUCGGCAAGGUGGACUUCCCAGAAUCACUCUGCGACUUUGACUCUAGUGUCAAUAUUAUGCCUAGGGUACUCUAUGACAAAUUCUUUACAUAUCCUUUAUUAGAAACAACCAUGUGUUUGUAGUUUGCAGAUUAGAUGAUAAGUUUUCCAAAAGGAAUAUUGAAGAACCUUUGUGUCCGAGUUGGUACCUUGUACGCCCCAGCAGACUUCGUGGUGAUAGAGACCGGUAAUGAUGAGAGGGCACCCAUCAUCUUAGGGAGGCCAUUCUUGAACACCUUGGGAGCUAUUAUCUAUGCUAGUGCUGCCAAGAUCAGUUUCUACAUCAAAGGGAAGAAGGAGAUGUUUUCCUUCAAGAACAAGACUACACAAAUCCCAGAUCAAUCUCGACAUGAACCAAGGAAGAGGACCAAUAGGAGGAAUAGGAACAAGCAAUUAUGGACCGAGUCAGCUAAGAUGGUUACUGCAGUUCAUGGAGGUCAAGAUCAUCGACUUAAGUCACCGUUUCUGGCUAAGAAGGACGACCCAGGAAUGCCAAGUAUCUACUGCUCCAUCAAUCGGUACAACUUCUACAAGACGACUUGCGGCACCGGAUCGGGCGUCAAUAUAAUGGCCGCAGUCACCUAUCGGCUCUUGUUCGGAACCAUGCCCCUAAAAUAAACAUACAUUCAGCUCCAGAUGGUAGAUCAGACGUUUCGAGAAGUUAAUGGAAUAGUAUCUGAUGUCCCUGUCAAAAUAGACGAUCAUUUUGACUACACAGACUUUCAGGUUAUUGGCAUGGGAGAAGACGAAUACGAUCCACCCGUUAUCCUUGGAAGACCGUUCCUCAGGACCGCUAAAGCAAUCAUCUACAGUGGAACCGGAGAAGUCCAUAUGCAUUUCCCCUCAGAGAAGGUACGCCGCUAUUUUACUGACCCUAAUUAUAUCGUUGAAGACCCUAAGCAGGUCAGAAAACGACGCAACCGCAACUAGAGGAGGCAGAUCAUCAAGGAUGGAUGGGCAGACUAUGAAGGGAAAGUGAUAUGAUCAGAAGAAAUACAGUUUAAACAAAAUUAUCCAGAGGAGACUAUAGCACCGAGUCAGGUGUGGAAAGAGAAGAUAACUAUACAUGAAGAGGAGGCGCUGCCAGAAGCACUGACUCUGCCAUCCAACGAAUUCCAGGACGACUGAGAAAACGGAGAGUCCCGUUCGGUGCGUUCGGAGGACUUAAAAACACCGAACGCCUUACCAAGAGGUAAACUUGGUAGUUAUCUUUUUCCUUUCAAUUAUUUCAACUAGUUUGCUUAGUUAAUUAGGUUCAUACUAUCCUAAAAAGAAAAUAAAAACGUUAAAAAACAGUAAGCCCCAUGUGACUAUACGAGUGGCAUAAACCCCAUAAGUACAUUCACUGUGGUGGCAUAAAAAUAAAAUAAAUAUUUUUUCUGCUUUAUAAAAUGAAAAUAUAAAAAUAGAGAGUAACAUUUAGUGAGGAGGCUCAACAUGAUAAAGGCUACAUAUUUAUGCUAACACCUAAUCAGUUCCACAAAGCUUUGUUAUCUAUUUGAGCUCCACAGAAUUCAAGGAUCAAGAAGACUAGCAGACGGAGGACAUUCUAAUCGCUCUCAGGGUGCUGCCGAUAUUCAAAUACACCUCUACCACCUGCUAGCUACAUCAGAAGAAAUUACGUCAAAAUUCAGCUUGGGGGAGAGCACCCCCAUUUAUCCCGCUAAGUAUUUCUAUCUAUCUAUAUACUCAUACUAUAUUAAAAUAUACAUUUCUAUGAAAAAAUAAGUAAAGAUUUUUGUGCUUAUAUAUAUCUUUUGCUUAGUGUGCUUAAUAAAUAAACAAAGUAGCUAUGCUGAACCGAAUCUUAAUAAUAAAACUCUAGCAUGGAUAUGAUGAAUAGUUGUUCUGCCUAAUUUUCAAAUUAGAGUUCUCUCUCAAGUUUAGACAUAACUGUUAUAAUUUAAAGCUUGCUCUAAACCUGAACUUGUGGGAAGAGAACUUGAUCUGAAGUCUAAGAUGUUAACGGAUAUGAUAUGGAAAGGUUGAGCUGCUAAUUCUGGAGAAUUUUAUCUUUUAAAAUCUUUAAAAUAUUACAUGAUGAGUUCCUGUAUGAUGAGAGUUUAAAUUCCUACCACAGCUAUAUAUACAGGCUUGCUAGACUUUGAGCCACACAUUUACUUUUUACUGCUUAUGAGCAUUGAGUGUGGUCAAGCUGUGUAGACCCUUAGGAGCUUGUCAUGUGGUUAAAAUCAAGAUUCACUUGCACGUUCACUCACACAUGCUACUUCUACUCCAGAAGUACGCAUCCACAUAUAUUGACUCAUUUCCAUCUCCAGAAACCACCCAAAAACAUUCUACUCCUAAUCCGGGAGAGAAUGGCCAAAAACAUUCUUGUUUUCCCUGUGAAAUAAAUGCUCAAGUUAUUUUGGUUACUGCCACUUGCUAUAUUAUUUCAAGAGAUGAGUGCUCUAUAAAAUAAAAAGAAGAAAAAAAUAUACGAGGAAAUAAAAAGGGGCAAGUGCCCGACAGUAGAAUUAGGGGUACAAGAUACCCACCUGAGAGAAAAGAAAAUACAGAGCAUCUCAUUCUCCUCACAAAGUUUCAAAUAGCAAGGAAGGUAUGUAUCCCCUCAAAAAAGCAAAAAUAGAAUUAGACUUUCACCAUUGUUAUCAUUAUCAUCACCAUACACCAUUCAUUCGCCACACAUGCACAUCUUGAUUUUACUUAUUGAUUUGUUUCUUUGGAUCCAUGGUUUGACUAUACAAUAAAUGUCUUGUAAGUAUGUAUACUUUAUCUCCCACCUUUGAGCUCCAGAUAUUAAAGCCUUGUUAGAGUAGGGUGAGAGAGAAGGCAAUGUCAUUAUGCCUUAUACCACAAAUACUACAUAUCUUGAGAGAAGGCAUAUACCAUCACUGCCUUGGUAAGGAUCUAGAAAUACCACAAAAGAGAGAUCUGAGAGAGUCAUACAAAGGAAUCUCUGAGUUUUAAUUGAAAAUCUACAAAAACUCCAGAGCUCUAGCUGAUCAAGAAUAAGAGACAUGGCACUUGACUAGACUGUCCUAUCUUUUAACUACUCAAGAUAGAAGUGACGGUUACAAGUCCCAUGGUGAAUGGUAAAGUAAGUAAGUUUUAAGUCUUGACAGUUUACUCUAACUCAGAGAUGAGAUCUUAUUUAAAUGCAUGUGUACCGUCAAUUUUUAAAGGCAUUACAACAACUUCGGAUCCAUCGCUUAGAUUAUCCUUGCUCAGGGAUGAGCAAGAGGUAAGCUUGGGGGAGUUUGUUGACGGUCCUUAAGUAUCAAUUUUAAUUAUCAAAUAAAUAAAGAAAAGGAUCCAAGUGAAAUCAACAUCCAGACUUAGGGUUUUAUCUAAUAGAAUUCCACGAGUUUUGGUGUUUGUCCAUUUCUGCAGGGGGUUAUGAGGAAAUACGGAAGAAAGGCCCACACAUCGGGAUUACAUAGAGACAUUAACGUGCCUUGCAAUUAUCUUACAUCUAGAAGAUUCCAUAAGCAACGGGAAUGAAGCGGAGGCAGAACGGAGCCUAGCCCAGGGUGCCCGCCCUAGGGACCAGGGCACCCGCCCACCUCUGGAGUCCAAUCAGGACUCUCUUUCGGGAUCACGCUCCACCGACCUAAAGGAUCAAGGAUAACCGUUCAAUCAUUGUCGGUUUGAUCCGACGGCCCAUAUUCACUUGGAAGGACUAUAAAACCAGACCCCCUGGCCCCUGGAGGAGAGAGCCUCUCAACCCUAAUUCAUUAUUCAUCAAGGGAGAAGAAGCCUCUGAUCAAGCCUAGAGCCACCACAUCAAUUAGACAUCUAGAUUAGCAUAGCUACAUAGGAUUAGAACUAGAAGGAGUCAAUCUUCGAUUUGUUUCUGGAUCUGUCUAGAGGAUUUUUGGUAAUUCUCUAUUGUUCUUCAAUUGUUCAUCUUUGUUCUUCGAUAUUAUGAAUAUGACUUUGUUCUACUUCAAUAUAUUGAUUAUGACUUUGCUCUACUUGUUUAUAUUUGCAAUUAUAUUGUUCUUAGUUUAUCAUAGUUAUAUACUUGGCUUAGUUAGAUUGGAUCUAUAUACAUGUUUAGGAUCGUAAAGCGUUUAUCCAUCGGAUCCAUGGGUAAAUGAUAGAUAUUGUGUAGGCAUGGUGCUUAUAUCGUAUUUAUCUGCGAUUGUACCCUAUAUGCCAGAUCGCGGGGUAGUUCGUGGUAGUGACAGCUCCAUUGAUUCUUAUAUAGUUCCCCUCUCGUGUAUUGGGCUGGCAGAGCAAAAUUAUUACAGUGGAGUGAUUACGAUGUUUCUCAUAUUCCUUGCUAAUAUCACUAUGCAUGGGCGUAGUCCUGUCUCACAAUGAUUGCUAAGUAUAAUUGCACUAACUAUGAUAUGCUAGACUGUAUAGUUAAGAAUAACUUAGGAAAUAUUCUUAUAGUUCGUUCUAAUUCCAUGCUAAUGACUUGCUAUAAUAUCUAAUUCAGGUGCUUAUUAUAUAUAUAUGUGGCUAAGUUAUGCUGAUCAGAUUAAUUAUCUUUGUCACUAUUCAUUACUUUAUAAACUUUAUGUGACAAUUAUCCCUGUGUGAAAGAGUUAGAUAAAUGUUCUCAAUUAUACAUGCAAUGAUAGAUACUCAAUCUUAUAUUCCAUUCUAUAAUCAACAUUGAUGGUUACUAAUCCCUUCCCAGUGGUAAAAACAUAAAUAACGAUACCUGGAAUACCUCCCGGUUAAAAUGCUACAUCGGUAUUAAUCUGUACGCUUGCAGAUCCCAUUCAUUAUUUAUUUAGAUGAGCAAUUGCAUAUUUCAAUACCGCGUCUCUCAUGCCAUGCUGGGGAUGACAACUUGGCUUAAGUGGUAUGAGGGAUAGGUUUGGCAUUUUUGGCGCCGUUAUCAGAAUUAGAAAACUAAGUCUACUUUUCGUAAUGACAUUAAGAAUACCCAACAGCUUUAUUCUCGUUGAGCUUGGCUCAGAGCUUCCUCCACUUGUUUAAGUUCAGCCAGGGCCUCUCUUCUUGCCGAUAGAUUGGAAAUCUUCUGCUUUAGUUCACCACAUGAGGAUUGCAAAGUGCCGAUGCUCUUGUGUUUCUCAGUGGCAACACGCUUCACUUGUAGCAUCUCCUCUUUGAGUUGGGCAUAAGCGGCUCUAUCGGCAAGGCGCUGAGUAGCCUUAUGAUACUGAAGUUGGCGACGUUCUAGGUGGGCAACUUGAAAAAGAAUCUCCUUAGCAUCGGCUGGAAUCUGACCAUGGAGAGUCUUCAAUAUGGCUUUGGCUGUAUCAGAAUCAUCCACUAGCUGGGUUGAUGCGACACGUUGUCUCGAUCUUCACGACGUAGGAUGAACACCGAUAACUAGCUAAAGAACAACCGGAUAACUUGCUGCAAGCAGCGAUAACUAGUGCAACCUGGCAAAUAAAACUCGAAGCCAACCACCGUCUUUAACCGGCAACCUGAAUCAAGGAUUCGCCCAACCACACUCUCAAAGAACCAACCAACACAACCUACAAUCAAUCAAGGAAUACCUUGAAGGGAGUAGGAGCACCAAUUGGGAGUGGAUGAAGCCGCCGCCUAUGUAAUCCCGCGAGGAAAUCACAAGAGCAAAGGGGUAGAGAUCACUCUCAGAAUUUGUUAGCACGCAGCUGAACAAAGGGGUCCUGUAUUUCAAUUAUCAAAGUCUAAGAUUACAAUGAGUCUUAGGGGGUAUUUAUACUAGCAACGGCCCUGCUAGAUAGGUAUAAAAACGAAAUAGAGUUUCUGAGGGAAGGCAAUGUGAAAGGUCCCCUCGAAAUGGAUUCCCGAAGUGGCUUUGCGUGACUGUUGGCCUCCAAACCAGUUUCCAAUAAACUGACCAUAACUUUUUAUUGGAAGUCCAAAUGAUGAACCGUUUCUUGGGUGUGGAACUAGAUUCAAAGGGCUUUCUAGCAAUGUAUGCCAACCAGCAAGAAACAUUGUAGAUUGGUACAGUUUUACUUGGCAAGUUGUACCAACAUUCUGCCAUGACAGACUGUUGACCUUCUGAGCAGUCUAUACUAAUUCUGGUCUGCAGGCAAUAUGGAGUAUCCAAACUGGUCGCCACUAGAUUCAUUGGAAAGUAGACUCGUCAAGCUUUCCAACAAGUGCUCGUGGACCUUCAUAGCUUUUGUGAGUAAAAAGCUAUGAAGAUUCUUUGCACUGGUCCGUUUUUUACUUCCACUGGUUCGUUUUUGACUUCUUCUGGAACUCGCACUGGUCCGUUCUUCAUGGUCCGAUUCUUCCUUCUCUUCUUCUAUAUACCUGAGUAGAAUCAAGGUACAACACUUAGGUAGUAUAUAAUUCUCAUUAAUGUUAAAAUGAAUCUCACAAAGUAGCGCGUGGACCUCUUGUUGUAGCUUCUUUGCACGACUACGUGUAAUUGGUCCAUCGAUGACUUGAGCUGGUGUCGGUGUAGGUGAAACUUGAGUCGGUGUAGGUGAAACUUGAGUGGGUGUAGCUUGACUUGGAGCUUGUGACAUCUUGCUUGGUGGCAUGGUCAUAUCAUCCUCCCCCCUUGAAAAGGAGUCGUCCUCGACUCUAAAGUGUCUUCACUUGUGAAUGGUGAGAGAUCAGCAACAUUGAAGGAGUUGCUCACACCAUAACUUGCAGGAAGAUCAAUCUUGUAUGCAUUGUCAUUGAUCUUCUCAAGAACACAAAAUGGACCAUCUCCUCGUGGCAGCAAUUUUGAUUUGCGCUGCUGAGGAAAAUGAUCAUUGCGCAAGUGUAUCCACACCAAGUCCUCGGGUUCAAAUAACACCUUCUUCCUAUGUUUGUUCAUACUUGCAGGCUUGCGUCCUGCCUUGAGUUCAAUUGCUUCCUUGGUCUUCUCGUGUACCUUCUUGAUGUAUGCAGCACGCUUGGAGGCUUCCAUAUUGGUUCUUUCCUGUAAUGGAAGGGGCAACAAAUCUAUCGGAGCAAUAGGUUUGAACCCAUAUACAAUUUCAAAAGGACACAUAUUAGUGGUAGAGUGUACUGCCCUGUUAUAUGCAAACUCCACAUGUGGCAUGCAUUCCUCCCAAACCUUCAGAUUCUUUUUCUCCAUAGUAUGCAGCAACAUUGACAAUGUGCGAUUCACCACUUCAGUUUGUCCAUCGGUUUGAGGGUGACAAGUGGUGGAGAACAAAAGCUUGGUUCCGAGCUUUGCCCAUAAUGUUUUCCAAAAAUAGCUCACAAACUUGACAUCACGAUCAGAUACAAUGGUUCUAGGCAUUCCAUGCAGGCGCACAAUUUUCCUGAAGAACAAAUUAGCAAUAUGUGAAGCAUCGUCGCUCUUGUUACAAGGAAUAAAAUGAGCCAUCUUUGAAAAUCUAUCAACCACAACAAAAAUUGAAUCUUUUCCUUUCUGAGUUCUAGGCAACCCCAAGACAAAAUCCAUGCUUAUGUCUUCCCAAGGAGUUUUAGGAGUAGGUAAAGGAGUAUAUAGACCAUGAGGGUUCAGUUUAGACUUAGCUUUGUGACAGGUAACGCAUCGCUCCACGAAUUUGAUGACAUCUCUUCUCAUCUUGGGCCAAUAAAAGUGAUCUUCUAGCAGCUCAUAGGUUUUCCUUUGUCCAAAAUGGCCUGUCAAUCCUCCCCCAUGAGACUCCUGCAACAAAAGCAAUCUAACCGAAGAAUUUGGAACACAGAUUUUGUUAGCUCUAAAAAAAAUCCAUCAUGUAUAUGAUACUUUUCCCAACCUUUUCCAUUUUUACAAUGAUUAUAUGGUUCUGAAAAUUCAGGGUCAUUACUGUACAGUACUUUCAAACUUUCAAGUCCCAAAACCUUUACCUCAAGUUGGUUUAGCAACACACUCUUUCGUGACAGAGCAUCAUCAACAACAUUGUCCUUACCUUUCUUAUAUUUCACAAUGUAUGGAAAUAUUUCGAUGAACUCAACCCAUUUGGCAUGACGACGGUUCACUUUUGCUUGUCCUUUCAAGUACUUCAAAGAUUCAUGAUCAGAGUGAAUAACAAAUUCUUUUGGCCAUAAGUAGUGCUGCCAUGUUUCAAGCACAUGCACCAAAGCAUAUAAUUAUUUAUCAUGCACAGAAUAAUUCAGUUGAGCACCUCCUAGUUUUUCACUAAAAUAUGCUACAGGUUUUCCUUGUUGCAUUAAAACUCCUCCUAUCCCAAUUCCACUAGCAUCACAUUCUAUUUCAAAAGUUUUAGUGAAAUCAGGAAGAACAAGUACAGGUGCUUCAGUCAAACGUUUCUUUAAUUCUUGAAAUGCAUUUUGUUGUGAUUUUGCCCAUUUAAAGUCAACACCUUUCUUUAUCAAUUCAUUCAAAGGAGCAGCGAUGGUACUGAAAUCUCUCACAAACAUCCUAUAAAAACAAGCAAGGCCAUGAAAACUUCUUACUUGACUUACAUUUGUUGGAGUUGGCCAAUCAUUGAUGGCUUUCACCUUGCUUUCAUCCACUUCUAUGCCCUUUCCUGAAACAACAAAGCCAAGAAACACAGCAUGGUCUGUGCAAAAACUGCACUUCUCAAGAUUAGCAAAUAAUUUCUCCUUUCUAAGCUCUUCCAAGACUUGCCGAAUAUGAUUCACAUGUUCCUCAAAAGACUUGCUGUAAAUUAAGAUAUCAUCGAAGUAGACAACAACAAAUUUUCCAAUGAAAGCUCUCAAGACAUGGUUCAUUAAUCUCAUGAAAGUACUAGGAGCAUUAGUCAAACCAAAAGGCAUAACUAACCAUUCAUACAGCCCAAAUUUUGUUUUAAAUGCAGUUUUCCAUUCAUCCCCUGUUUUCAUUCUUAUCUGAUGGUAUACACUUCUCAAAUCAAUUUUAGUGAAUAUGGUGGAACCACUUAAUUCAUCAAGCAUGUCAUCUAAACGUGGGAUAGGAUGGCGAUAGUGAACAGUGAUGUUAUUUAUAGCUCUACAAUCAACACACAUUCUCCAAGAACCAUCUUUCUUAGGUACUAAAAUUAUAGGAAUAGCACAAGGACUUAAACUUUCACGAACAAAACAUUUAUCAAGAAGUUCUUGCACUUGCCUUUGUAUCUCCUUUGUUUCUUCUGGAUUGGUUCGGUAUGGUGGUCGAUUAGUUAGUGUAGCCCCUGGAAUGAGAUCAAUUUGAUGCUCAAUCCCACGAAUUGGAGGUAGUCCCACUGGUGUUUCUUCUAGAAAGACAUCUCCAUAGUCCUGCAAAAGAUGAGACACAACACUAGGAAGAGAGGUCAUGUCGUUAGCUGAAAUUAAAAUGUCUUUGUAUACAAGUACAAAGAGCACUUGUUCGGGGUUGUUUCUCACUUCUCUCAUUUCAGAUUUUGUGACUAGCAUGACUAAAUUCUCUCCCUCUCCUUUCUUUUUCUCCCUCAAAUUUAGCUUGUGGCACUCACUCACCGAAUUGUGGAUGGCACUCAAUUUCUUUUGCUCUCCUUCCUCUCUACUCACUGGAACAAUUUCAGAUUUCUUUUGUAAAUGUUCCGCCAUGAUUUGUUGAGGUGUCAUAGGCUUGAGAACAAACUUCUUCCCCGCUAGAUUGAUAGUAAACUGAUUUGUUCUCCCACAAUGUUGGCUAUAUCGAUCAUAUUGCCAUGGCCUUCCAAGCAGCAAGUGACACACCGACAUAGGUGCCACAUCACUCUCCACUGUGUCAACAUAUUCACCAAUCUUGAAUGGAACUUUCACUUUAUCUGCAAUCUUGAUAUCUUCCGAAUCAUUCAGCCACUGUACAUUAUAUGGAUGAGGGUCUCGUAGCAGCUUCAAGCUAAGUUUAUCACUCAUCUCACGACUAGCAAGAUUAUGGCAGAUCCCUCCAUCAAUAAUCACCUUCACGUCUUUAUCAUGCAUCUUUGCUCUAGUUUGAAAUAAUUUGUGUUGCUGCCCAUUUUCAGCUUCAUUUGCCUGAACACUCAAGAUUUGAGUCAUCUCAAGAACAGCUCCUUGCUCAAACUCACAACAAGUAAGGUCCUCGUCUCCAUGGGCUUCCUCCUCAAUUCCCUCUUCACUAGCUGAUUCAUACUUUCCAUCAUCAUUCACAAUGAUCACCUGAGUAUUGGUGCACUCCUUACUUAUAUGCCCAUGGCCUCCACACUUGAAGCUCUAAAUUUCACUACUCCUGGAAGUAGAGCCCACUGAAGUAGUGGUUGAUGCUGCUGGUUUUGAACUUGGGACAACAGUGUUCUUUCCACUAAAAGUACCCUGAAAAUUAGAUCGAGAGCCUCCACUUGAGCUUUUCACCAUGGACGGUUCAGCAGCAAACUUUGUGUUUGAUUUGCUUCCUCCACAGAAAUUCCUCGUGGAUGGUUCAGCAGCAAAUUUUGGCAUGGUAAAUUUCAGUUUGCCAAAUCUUUCUUCAUGGUUGCCUCUUCUAUGACAUCGGCGACCAGAACUGAGUUGGAAGCGGUUGUCAUUAGCCUCAUCUUCAGAUUCAUCAUCAUUUCUUCCACUAUGUCUUCUUCCUUCGCCAUGUGCAGCCCUCUGGUUCCUCCGACCUCCUCUUCUUCCAUCACUAUCUUCUCUAUCUCCACUAUGGUUGCUUGCACCAUCAUGAGGUGGACGAUGCCUACUGAUUUCAGUCAUAAGAUUCUGAAGAUCUCGUGUCAACCUCUCGCUUUUCUUCCAUGCUUUGUCAGAGUUUAUUAAAUUGUGCUAUGGUAUCACAAUUUUUGAUGUCCACUCGACCCAUCUUCCUGUAAGGUUAGCUGAAUACAAAUAAUUUGUAUUUGUAGAAUAUGAAAAUUUGGUGGCUCUCACAACUCACCUCUCUAACCACCAAAGCUCUUAUGAAUUCCUCUGCUGCAGAUUACAAGGAAAACAAAUGUGUGGUGGCAACUGAAAGUGAUGGCGAGGCGAAUACAAGAACAGAGAGUACCGAUUACGAUGGUUUUUAUGUGGAGCUUGGUGGGGAGUAAUACACAAGGAAUGCAAUCUGAAUUCUAGUUGUUGUAAAGUUAUGUAACGAUCCAAACUAGAAGUUCUCUGCCUAGUGCUGAUCAAAAGAUUCGAAGUGUAUAAAUAGAUCACACACACGCAAAGAAAUUUCAGAAUUGAUGCAAACAAGGAGUAUGAUUGGGAUGCAAGUGUUGCAAUCAGACCCAACCAAAGUUUUGCACCAAAUAAAGAUAGCAAACUGGUUACAGAAUUUGAUAUGAAACUUUUAGCACUUGUUCACAUAAACCAACUAAUCUUUCAGACUUUCUGUCUGAACCUUUCUCAACUUUUUUUUCACUUCACUUUUUUUUUGCACUUUCAUUUCUUUUUCUUGAAACACUUUUUUAUAUAUAGAACUAAAAACAGGGAUCAGAUUAUGAUACUUGCACAAUUAAAGAUAGAAAAUAAACGAUAACUAGUAGCUAGAUAGGAUCAAAGUUAACACAAAGGAUGAUAUAGGAUAUAGAGAUUUUUUUGUGAGGAUUUUUAGAUAUAAAAGAGGUACAAAGAACACGCGAAGGAUAAAUGAUCAGCAACUAAAACAAAGACUCUAAUUGACUGCGACUUAACCGAACUCACUAAAACAACAGAUUGAAACAAUGGUCUAAGCAAUAUAUUUUUCGGGCUUUUUGGUGGAUAGGACGAAGCAAAAUAUAUAUGUAGCUAGGGAUAAAAUUCCUACCGUGGUAACAAAAGCUUUGAUACCAGAUGAUGUGACACGUUGUCCCAAUCUUCACGACGUAGGAUGAACACCGAUAACUAGCAGAAGAACAGCUGGAUAACUUGCUGCAAGCAGCGAUAACUAGUGCAACCUGGCAAAUAAAACUCGAAGCCAACCACCGUCUUUAACCGGCAACCUGAAUCGAGGAUUCACCCAACCACACUCUCAAAGAACCAACCAACACAGCCUACAAUCAAUCAAGGAAUACCUAUGCUAAUGUAUAACGACUAUACUAGCCAAUCAAAUGUAAUGCACAAAAGUAAAUAGAGAAGAUAAAAUAUAUUAAAGCAUAUGUCUUACAAGAGAAGAUACAAAGAUAUACCAGAACUCUGAUGACUCCUCCAAGGACUCCUCUAGAACCCAGGCAUAGCGCCGCUCUCCCUAACUCUCAACUAGAACUAAUCUACUACAUUGGAAAGUUUAGUCUUAAUUCUCUAGAGGUGAGAGGUCAUCCAUUUGAGGGACGCCUCUACAUCUCCAUAAUGUGGUGCCCCUAGGGAGGGGGCUCUGCCUCUUUAUUUAUAGCCUAUAAAAGCCUCCCACGUCUUCUCGACAGGUGAUGUGGGACUAAUUCUUCCACCAUUUGCUCUGUUUUUUUUGAGGCCUCUAUCAUGCCAUAUGAACCUCUUCUCACGUCGUGGGUCUUGCUUGGGCAUGGGGCCCAUUAGUGGUAAUUCUCCUUUAUUUGUAAAAUUAAUAUCUUUUCACUCUGGACUCCAAAUAUAGCAAAUGAUAUGUCCAUUUCGAUCGUCUCGAUGAGCCCGUCACAAUGGUGUUGUCCAAAUCAUCAUUUGACGUACUUUUAUUUGAUGGAAUAUUGCAUAUUCCUACAAAACAAGUGGGAACACCAAAACUCAUGGAACUCGUUAGAAUCAAACCCUACAACAAUGCUUUAUGGUUGAUAUCAUGUUAUAUUGAGCAAUAGUUGAUGGUAUAAAAUAGGCAUUAAGGACCGUCUACAAAGGGUAGAUAUAUUUUUGAAAGUGUUGUAGCUGCUCAUGAGAUUCUUUGUGAGGUGCAUAAGGAGUCAGGUAUUAUCCUUAAGCUUAACUAUGAGAAAGUGUAUGAUCUGGGGAGUUUCCUAGAAGAAAUGUUAAAAUCUAGGGGUUUCGAAGUUAAGUGGAUAUUCCUACAAGGUGGUUCUAUUUGCAUUAGAAUGAAUGAUGAGAAUAGUACUUUCUUUAAACCAAGUAAGGGGCUUAGACAAGGGGAUCCCCUUUCUCCCCUUCUUUUUAAUCUAGUAGCUGAUGUGUUUACUAGGAUGCUCCUGAGGGCAGCUAAGAGAAAUCUUAUCUCUAGUUUGUUACCACAGGCUAAACCUGGGGGCAUUAUUAGUUUACAGUAUUCUAAUUAUACGCUACUUUUCCUUGAAAAUAAUCUAGAUAAAGCAGCAAACUUAAAGUGGUUGCUAGUUUGUUUUGAACAACUUUCUAGUAUGACAAUUAACUAUGAUAAAAGUUAUCUACUGGUUUUAGGUAUGGAUGAUGAGAGGACCAAUGAUUUUGCAAAAGUUUUCUGUUGUAAAAAGAGUGAUUUCCCUAAUAAGUAUUUAGGAGUUCUAUUGCAUUCUUCAAAACUAGGGAGGGAGGAUCUACAACCUAUGAUUGAGAAAAUUGUUAGGAGGAUAGCUAGGUGGGAGGGUAUACUCCUAUCUUAUGUAGGCAGGCUGACCGUACUUAAGUCAUGUCUAGCCAGCAUUCCUAUAUAUUUUCUUUCCAUAAUUAAGUUCCCUCGAUGGGCUAUUGACAUGAUUAACACCCAUAUGGGUCAUUUUCUUUGGAACAGUUCUGAGGCACGGCCCGUGGGCCGAUUUUCGGGCCGGGCCGGCCCAAAAAGCACGAGGCCCAAUAGUCCUUCAGGCCAAAACUAUUCACUGAAAUUGAUCUCGGAGUGAUGAUUGCCAUCAUCAAAUCAUUAUCCUUGUUGAGAGCAUCAUCAAAAGGGUGGAAGGUGAGCGGGAAUCUGGUUUCUGGAUCUUCAUAAGGCAUCCAUGCUCGCUAAUCUUUGGAGAGAUCAUCAUACAAGGUUUGGAAGAAUUGGCCGACCUAGUUUUUGUUGCAGCCAGUACUAGGGAGGUCUAUGAUAGCUUCACCAUAAUUAAGGGGUGGACGAGUUGCCGAUUCAUCAUCUGCUAGCUCAUAGUCUUCGGCAAUAUCUCGAAGGAAUCGCUGUGCAAAGAAGUCAAACCGGAGGUGUUUGUGCACAUGGGUGUUGAGCCACAUAUUGAUAAACCACCAAGAGCCUCCUAGGUUCCCGAUGGGUUCACCUAGCAGGAGUUUCUCGGUCACUUGAUGGAGGAGAUGAUAGACGGAGCCUAGCAGUUAUCGGCCAAGAGGGAAUCGGCCACCAUCGGCUAACCUUUCUGCUGCCGAUAAGUAGACAGAGGUUGGUCCUACCGAUCGGGAGCAGAAGAUGAAUUUGUCUAGCCACAUGUUUAGAAAAAGUGGCAUGUUCCCUCUGACCUACCGGCCUUGUUCUUUGAUACUUCUGGAUAUACCCUGACCAGCCACCGAUGUUGCGGGUUUCUACUUUGUGUUCGGCUUUGCGGUCGUACAACUAGCCAUCAUCGGCAGUUGCAAUGUCUAAACCAGUAAACAUGAGGACAUCAGCAAGAGUGGGGAAAGCUAGGCCAUGACCAAAAAGGAAAGCAUUGAAAGUAUCUGACCAGAAGUAUGAAGUAGCUAUCAGCAGUGAUUCAUUUCUUUCCAUAUCGGCAAAUAGAUAGCCUGAUGCACUAAUCUAGUUUGCGUUCACCCCAGUAUACUUCAUUUGUGUUGCUAACCCUCAAAAACCAAUCCUUCCAUCCUUUGGCGGAACUUGGCUAGGAUCAGAAAGUAUCUUUCCACAUAUUUAAAUAAAAAUUCUCGGCCCUAAAAGGAAUUCUGUUUGUUUCCGCAUUGAUUAGAUCGUUGGGAUCUGGGUUACCCAGUUGACCGAGGCAUUGAAGAUGGGGUUGUUCGGUAGGGGUAACAAUUUUCUCACUCAGUUCCUAAGGUUUGAAGAUUGAAAUAACAAAGAGAAAGAAAGAAGAAGGAAAAAUGCUAAGUAAGUAGACUUGCAAAAGGUGAAGAGGUGUGGUAAAGAAAGGAAAGAUGGGAAUAGAUUAACCUCAGGGACGACAAAGUUGACGGCCAUUUCUUCCCGGAGAAGAAGAAGAUCAAAGACUUGAGAAACCGUUGGGGGAGAUUUUGCUGGGGUUCUUGGGCUCUUCGACAAUGCCGCCGCUAGAGAGAUGAGUUUGGGGGGAUGAAGGAUGGCAAGGUAGAUAAAGAGUGCCAAGGAAGGAAGUAUUUAUAGGGUAAAGUGAACAUGGGCAUUUUUGACUUAUCUCUUUGUCGUAUCCGUGAAAUUCGAGGGUGUUCACAUGGACAUGGUAACUGUUCGUACGAUAAUCAAGGGAUUGUGCAGGUGAUGUGUGUUGACAGUCCUUAAGUGCUAAAUUUAACCAUCAACUAAACAUGGAAAAGGAUGAAUAUGCACCAAACAUCUAGAAUUAGGGUUUUACCUGACUGAAGUCCACGAGCUUUGGUGUUUGUCUAUUUCUGCAGGGGGUUAUCAGAAAAUAUGGAGAGAAGGCACACAUUUCAUGUUUACAACAAGAUAAUUACGUGCCGCGCAAUUUUCCUUAAUCUAGAAGAGUCCAGAAGCCACGGGAACAAACGGGAAGCUGGACAGACCCGGGGGCAGGGCGCCCGCCCUUCCCCUUGGGCGCCCGCCCUGGCCUCGGGGCCAAUCAGGUUCAACUUCGCGGAUUAUGCUCCACCGACCUAAAGGAUCAAGGAAAACCGUGCGAUCAAUGUCGGUUUGAUCCGACGGCCCAAAUUCACUUGAAGGGACUAUAUAAGCAAGGCCUCUCCACCCCAGGGGAGAGGAUAAAUCAUUAUCAGAGGAAGCCAUCAAACUUAGGGUUUUAGAACUUCUCUCCCACAGAGAAUUAGAAUUAGCUACUCUCUAAUCCUUCAAGUUCUAUAGGGUUGAUUAGAUAGAAUUAGAGAAGUAGAGCACUAUGCUCUGGAUUCGGAUCUUCGUUAAUAAAGAUUGGUAUUAUUUGAUAUCUUUCUCUACUACUUUAUUCUAAUUGCAUUAUGUCUCUAUUUAUUAUGAUCUUAGUUUGCUCUAGUUCUAUAUUUGAUAUAGUUAUGAUUGAUAAUGAGUUUAUGUAUAAGUUUGCAAAGCGCUUAGCUCUUGACGCGCGGGAGUUAAGUGGUAGAUCACAUGUGGACGUGGUGCUUAGAUGUUAUUUACCUGCAAAUGUAUCCUAUUGGCCGAGUCGUGGGGUAGUUCGCGAUAGUGACAGCUUCGUUGAUUAUUAUAUAGUCCACCCUCCGUUGAUUGGACAGGCAGAAUUUGUAUUGCGGAGUAAGUCUUGUGAUGUUCUGAUUUACUUUAGCAAUGUUCCUUGUACAUGAAUGAAGAGUCUUUUAUGCUAUAUAUGAUAACUAGAGUAGAUUGUGACUUAGUAGAUAGUAGAUAACUUAGAAUCCAUUCUCUAGCUAAUCCGACGUCACCUUACAUAUAUGAGGAGUAGUCUAUUUUCUAAUCGCUGUGUUAUUUACCCAAGAGCUUAUAUUCCAAUAUCAUUAUUAUUAUUAUGGCUUACCCCCUGCCAAAGUAAGUGACUGUGUGACGAGUUCCUCAUUAGUAAUCGUGUUCUUACAAGUUUAUCUCUAGUCUAUGCCUUGAUAGAUUUUAUUUAUCUCCACCGUUCUCUUAAGCAAAAUUAUAAAUAACGAUACCCGGAAUACUUUCUUGGUGAAAUGCUACAAUCAGGUAUUUUAUCUGUGUACUUGCGGAUAGAAAAGAUUAUUUUCUAGAGAGCCUUUACAUUCAUAAAUACCUUUGUACACUCUGGCUCCAAGUUGGGGAUGACAACCUAGUAUUCAAGUGGUCUUAGUAACUGUCAACAAUGUGACAGCAAGCAAUCAUGAUUUUAGGAGAUAUUUUACUGUGCAAGAUCUCUUGGUCGGCUCAUCGGCAGUCCACUCUAACGGAACAGUUACCGAUGAGCGGAUGUUUAGGAGAUUUGGUUCGGGAGGUUGAGAAAUUCGAGGUGCAUGUUGGUUGGCUCUUCGACAAUGCCGCCGCUAGAGAGAUGAGUUUGGGGGAUGAAGGAUGGAAAGUUAGAGAAAGAGUACCAAGGAAGGAAGUAUUUAUAGGGUAAAGUGAACAGGGGCAUUUCUGACUUAUCUGUUUGCUGUAUGCGUGAAAUUCGUGGGUGUUCAGAUGGACAUGGUAACUGUUCGUACGAUAAUUAAGGGAUUGUGCAGGUGAUGUGACAACAAGCAAUCAUGAUUUUAGGAGAUAUUUUACUGUGCAGGAUCUUCUGGUCGGCGAAUCGGCAGUCCACUCUAACGGAACAGUUGCCGAUGAGCGGAUGUUUAGGAGAUUUGGUUCGGGAGGUUGAGAAAUUCGAGGUGCAUGCUGGAGAUCCGGGUUAAGGUUGUUUGGAUUUGGUAAUUAAUUGUUGUUAGAAGUGAAUAACUGCGAAAAGGGCAUCAUUAUUAGGCGAGAAUUUCGGAGAAUUAAUGAUUUUAUACUCCGAAAUUGGGGGGCAUGUGUUGACACCGUUUUUGGACACGUAUAAGGAAAGUUAAUGGAGCUUGGUUUGGCAGAUGAAAGAGUGAUAACUGGUUGACUAAGGACUUGCCGAUGGCUUAUGAUACCGAUGAUGAAGCAGCAGGAUAUGGUCAAGUACAGGAAUGGUAGUUGAUCCAUGCCAAUGGUUGAUAUUGACGAUUGCCGAUGCCGAUGGAGGAUGGUAUGCCGAUGACGGUGGAGGAAGAUGUGGGAAUUGUCGAAAAGAUGAUGAUGGUGUGCCGAUCACCUAGGAUAGAUAAAUUAUUGUUUUCCAUAAUUAUUAGAGUUUGUUUUGUAUACGGAUUCUGUUUAGUUUGGAAUUAGAAUCCUAGUCGUAUCUGGUUGUAACUCUAUAGGAUAGGGUAUAAAUAUAGACCUAGUAACGAUGUAAGAAAGGAAUCUAGUCAAUCAUACACAAAGUUUUUACAUCUAUCUUCGCAUCUACUUUCGAUGACUUCGUCAACUUGCAUUUUUCGUUUUUACUUACGAGUUCUUAGGAAUUCAUCGAGCCAAACUCGACGGGUUCUUGAGUUCCGCGUGAGUACCCCUUGGCCGUGACAUCCGGGCGCAUCGCUGUUGUCGGGACCAAAGUAUUCGAGUUAUCACCUUUGUCGGUUGUAAGGUCAAAUCGGCUAGCACGCCUUAACAUUGAAUCGGGUAUUAGCCCUUUGUGUUGGCAGAUACACUUUUGCAUCAACAGUUGUAUUUGUAAGGUCCCCUAAAGGUACCCGAUCACCGGUUGGUCUUGGCGUGUGUUGACACCGUUUUUGGACACGUACCCGGGAUCGGUAGAGUGUGGAUCGGCAAGAAGAAGGCAAUAGUGAUUGGUCUGCAGGAGGGUUGCCGAUGAGAAGAUAUCUGAAUGUGGCUGAGUCCAUGGAUGGUGGUGUGUUUAUGCCAAUGGCCAAUGUUAAUCGUUGCCAAUGAGGAGUCUGCCGAUGGCGUGAAAAGAAGACUCGGAGGUCGCCGAGUGGUCCGUGGUUGUCACGGCAGGAUAGUUUUGCGUUUUCCUUAAUUAUUUAAAUCAUUUUGUAUACGGGUUCUGUUUAAAUUUGGAAUUUGAAUUCUAGUCGUGUUUGGUUGUAGCUCUUUGAGCAGGGUAUAAAUGUGGACCCUAGGGCCUUGUAAUCGAGACAUCUAUCAAUCAAUCAAGCACAAGCUUUUAUUUAUAUUCUAGCAUCUACUUUUUUGAAGACUUCGUCACACUUUUCUUUUUAUUACGAGUUCUUCGAAAUUUGUCGACUUAAGCUCGGCGUGUUCUCAAGUUUCGUGUGAAUACCUCUUGGCCGUGGCAUCCGAGCGCAUCGCUGUUGUCGGGACCAAAGUGUUCGAGUUAUCACCUUUGUCGAUAGUAAGGUCAAAUCGGCUCGCACGCCUUAACGUUUAAAUCGGGUAUUAGCCCUUUGUGUUUGCAGAUCAGCUUUUGCAUCAACACAUCUUUUGGCACGCCCAGUGGGACUAGAUUCAAGAUCAAGAUCGACAUGUCGACUACUGAGUUUGAUCAGGAGAAUGUCAUCCCUGUGACGGAAGCCAAUCUCAAGGAUGAGCAGAAGCAAGCUAUUGCUAAAGCCAUGGAGGAUUACAAGCAGCAAUGCCUGAGGUCCUUCAGCAUGAACAGGAGCGGCAAGGUGAUCCAGAAGGAUGCACUGCCGAUGCCUCGGCAGGUUACUUUUGAAGCCAAUCCUGGUAAACUCCAAGACAUGGUCGAUAGUGCUAUCAACCGUGCCUUGAUCAACCAAGCUGGUGUACUGUCCAAUACGGUUUUUAAUGCCAUGGCUAGAACUUUCAAGGAAGGACAGUUGCCACCGAAUUAUGUGGGCCCUUCUCAACAUCAGCCGGGAUCACCGGUGGUCACAGCUCCAUCGGCUGCUGCAGCCGCUGCGGGCACGGAAAUUCCUGUUCCUCCGAGCACGUUAGGAGUCACUAAUGCACAAUCUACGCCGAUAACAACUAAUCCACUGACUUCAGAUGAACAGAUCAAGCUCACUACAGAUUUAUUGGCAUCGGCAAUGUCAGGACCAGUUCCUCCUCCUAACUGGUGGGGUUUCGGUAUGCCCCCAGAAUACUUGAAGACGCCUGGCACAUCUCAGGCAGCUGAUACGAGAGGCAAGGCUCCUAUGGCAUCGGCGCCUCCAAAUGUGCCGAUGAAUCAGAGUCCCCAGUAUACUAGAACUACUACUGCAAGACCUUACACUGGGAAUUCUCAAGCUCCGACGUACCAGAUGCCUAACGCAUCGACAGACUCAAUGCUGAUGCAACAGAGAUUUAUGACUCAGCCAGGGUAUGUCAAUUCAAUGAUGAUGCCCAAUUACCAGUCAUCGGCAGGACCUAUGCCGAUGAAUGGUAAUAGUGGAUGGCUUGGGCAGCAAGUCUUUCCGCAAACGCCCCAACAGAAUCAUCAGGCUGCGGGGUUCUAGCAAGGCCAGAUCUACCCCGGGUUCCAUAAUCAGGGACUACCCAACCAGCCAAUGAAUUUUGGGCAGCAAAUCGGCGGACAACAGAUCGG
This 78321-nucleotide long non-coding RNA is filed under the name Sorghum bicolor (sorghum). RNAcentral's name for it is "long non-coding RNA (SBIC_LNC008403)". Lineage: Eukaryota; Viridiplantae; Streptophyta; Magnoliopsida; Poales; Poaceae. The record is from RNAcentral.